RNAcentral lists this long non-coding RNA (71986 nucleotides) under Solanum tuberosum (potato). RNAcentral's name for it is "long non-coding RNA (STUB_LNC005424)". The record is from RNAcentral. Lineage: Eukaryota; Viridiplantae; Streptophyta; Magnoliopsida; Solanales; Solanaceae.
UUUUUUUUUUUUUGCUGACGGAGAAACUCUUAAUCGAUAUCCUUUAAAUAAGCACACAGUAAACUUCAUUUCAGUAUAAUAACAAUAUCGCAUUCAAACCAUAUAGAAAGAGUAAAAAACGUGCUAGCUAGAUUAGUUUGUGCUUCAAGAUCGAUCAAAAAAAUUAAACACUUAAAAAUCACUUGUUAAUUGUGAUUAAUAAUAAUAAUAUAAUAAUAAUACUAAUAUAGUCUCUUAUUAUUUGUCCUAGGUGGAUUUUUUCUUACACGUAUGAAACCAUGGUUAUAAUGUCCAAAAUAAGUUAAAGUUGUUUAGAUUAAUAUAUGGACCUACAAGUUUGUUUUUGUGGUUCAAAUUAAUCAUGGUCCUACAAGAUAUUUUCUUGAAACUCCAUUAGGUCUCUUCAAUUACACCUAACGAUUCCAACAUAAUUCUUUAUUCCAAAUUACUUUUUUCACCUAGAAAAAAAAAAGGAUGAUUGUCUUAGUAAUAAUAUUUUACUAGAAAUAUCUUAGAUAUAUUAAUUUAUAAUCCACUUGCCCAACUUUAUCCACUAUUAUUUAUUUUAUUUUACAAUGGUUGAAGAAGAGUUUUUGGGAAUGGUUGGUGUUUGCAAAAAAAAAAGUUACAAUACUUAAAAUUGAGUCGGAAAGAGUAUUUGAAAGUUGAAGUUUUAGUUUGAAAAUUAUUUAACAUAUUGUUUAAAGAAAUAUCAGCCAGUAAGUGAAAAUAAAGUUGAUUUAUGAAUGAUUUGAAUAUUAUUUUUUUUAGUUUAAAAUGGAUUUGUAAAUAACAUAAUUUACUUCAUAUCCAAAUUUAAUUUGAUAAGGAUUCAUUAAAUUGACUAUUAAUAGGCAACAAAGUACAAACGAUGAACAAUUUGGAAUAAAACAUGAAUUUUGUCUAGGGACAAAUUAGUAAAUGAAAACACGACCCGUCUUAUCUAUUUAAGUUUGUUCGGAUUAAUAAUCUGUCUAUUUACUAACUCUCUGUUCAUUUUGAUAGGUGAAUUUCAACCCAUUUAAAAGUUGAGGUCAUAUAUAGCCUAAUUUACACAUGAAAGUUUUUCUUAAAAUAUUUUUUGUUUGAUAUAUUAUAUAUAAUCAUAAAAAAAAAAAAAAAAAAAACUUAUAAAUUACAAGAAAAAUAAAUAAAAAUUUGAUAAAAAAAAAAUGCACGGAUCAAACCAUAACCUAUUAUUUAAUCCAUUUUAAUUCGACUCAUUUCACUCCAAAUAGCAUUUGAAAGGACAGAUUAAAUCAGUCAAUUUUAACCCGCCCAUUUGAUAAUCCGACCUUAUUAGCAUACACAAAAAAGAUUUAAGAUUGCGUCCUUCUCUCAACAAUCUAUUUUAAGAUGAUAUCAUUAAGGCAUAAGAAUCCAAGAUUAACACCUAUUGAUUGGCUGGUAAUGAUACUUUAAGUAAUAAAUAAAUUAGAAGAAUUUAAGACAUCAGCAAUUCAAGUUAUAUUUAUGUUUAAACUAUAGUACGUAAGCAAUAAAAUGGGAAGAAAUAAAAAGACAAAACUCAUUUUAUUUAAUUAUAUUGUUAGUAAUAAAAAAAACGUCAGCAGACCAUGUUUGUUUUUUUGUUGUUUUGGAAAAUAAAUAGGUGAGAGGCCUUUGUCGUCUUUGGACCAACUGCUCUUAUACUUAUCAAAAUAUUUGUUUGUUCACACCCUUAUUUUAGAGGUUUUCUUUUACUUUUUUCUAGGUCAGAUAGGAUCAAUGAUUCGAACCUUCUUUGAUAGAAAAUUAUAUUGAUUACACGUAGUUAAGUUAAUCAUCUUUAAUUUUUUCGUAUAUUUACUUAUUUAUAUUUUGAACCUUCUUAGUAAAACUCUUGACUUUUUCAUUGAUUUCGACCAUCUAUUCUAGUUUAGUUGUUAAUACGUGUUUGGAUGAUAUUCAUAACAUGAUGAUAUAUUAUCCGUUUUUAGGGGUGGACGUUCGGUAUUCGAUUCAGGAUAAUCAAAUUUUGGAUUCGGUAAUUGAUAGUUAAAAGUAGAUACCAAAUAUCAAAAUUUUAAAUUUCAGUUCGGUAAUCAAUAAAUUAAAUUUCGAUUUAAUAUGGUAUUCGAUAAUACUGUAUUGAAGUUGUAGCCAAUUGUAUUAUAAAGUUAAUACUAUUUUUUCAAUCAUUUCUAUUUUUUAUGUGAAGGCACGAUAUAAUAGAAGAUCAAUAAGUAAGAAGACAACAAGAAAAACAAAUUGAUACAACUAAAAGACAUGUAUUUGGGUUGUUUAUGUUCAUUCUUUAACUUUCUUCUUUGGAUUUGUACUAAUGAGUAAUGGACAUGUUGAUACAUGAUCUUCAUUAAGUAAAUAAUUCAAUAUUCGAGAACUACCAAAUACCAAAUGGUACUAAUGUCUCAUACCAAACCCAAACCCGAAUAUCAUAAUUCUAAAAUUUUACUUCCGAAUAUCCAAUCACCGAAUACCAAAUUACCAAAAAUUACGAUUCGAUUUGGUAAUUCGAUUUUUGAUAUUUUAAAUCAAAUCCGCAUGAUUUUCUCCAAAAUGCCCCCAUAUCAUUAAGAUAUCUAACACUUUAUUUAUAUAAAACAUGUAACUUUAGCCGGCACAAUUUAAUUUUCUCAAAAUAUAUUCUAAAAUGAAAGCAUCGAAAAGUUAUGAGAUGCCUAUAUAUGACUUUAGCUUAAAAUUAAAUAACCUCUUUAGUCUAAAUCAGAUUAUCUCCAGUUAACAAUUGCUAUUUCUAAAUUAGCUUAUCACUCUUGAUUAUUAACUAAAAUUAAAAACAAGUUCAACAAAUAUAAGAAAUCCUUUAAGUUAAAAGGCAUCAUUAAUAUUAAUGCAACCUUUCUUGUAUUCGUAAAGGCAUUUUGGGCAACUAGAGUCAAUUAGAGUGUGUAAUGUAUAAUUAAUAAAAUAUAAUUCAGUAUAUAGUAUUUUAUUUCGUUUCAAUUAAGUAGGAAGCUGUCAGUGUAAUAAUAUGGUGUGAAUGUUGAAUACAAUUGGUCAAUUGGAUUAACCAAUUGAUUAAAGACUAAUUUCAUUUUACAAAAUUUUAUUCUCAAUUUUUCCUUUACUUACUCAUUCUAGUGUAUCUAACUGUCCCUUAGCACCUCUCUCCUAUUUUUUUUCCAUUUUGUUUUUACAUAUAUGACUUGAAUUAACAUUGGGAGAUUCAAAAUUUUAAAGUUUACAGGUUUAUCAAGUUUUGAAUAAAUUAUUGGGGGGAGGGNNNNNNNNNNNNNNNNNNNNNNNNNNNNNNNNNNNNNNNNNNNNNNNNNNNNNNNNNNNNNNNNNNNNNNNNNNNNNNNNNNNNNNNNNNNNNNNNNNNNNNNNNNNNNNNNNNNNNNNNNNNNNNNNNNNNNNNNNNNNNNNNNNNNNNNNNNNNNNNNNNNNNNNNNNNNNNNNNNNNNNNNNNNNNNNNNNNNNNNNNNNNNNNNNNNNNNNNNNNNNNNNNNNNNNNNNNNNNNNNNNNNNNNNNNNNNNNNNNNNNNNNNNNNNNNNNNNNNNNNNNNNNNNNNNNNNNNNNNNNNNNNNNNNNNNNNNNNNNNNNNNNNNNNNNNNNNNNNNNNNNNNNNNNNNNNNNNNNNNNNNNNNNNNNNNNNNNNNNNNNNNNNNNNNNNNNNNNNNNNNNNNNNNNNNNNNNNNNNNNNNNNNNNNNNNNNNNNNNNNNNNNNNNNNNNNNNNNNNNNNNNNNNNNNNNNNNNNNNNNNNNNNNNNNNNNNNNNNNNNNNNNNNNNNNNNNNNNNNNNNNNNNNNNNNNNNNNNNNNNNNNNNNNNNNNNNNNNNNNNNNNNNNNNNNNNNNNNNNNNNNNNNNNNNNNNNNNNNNNNNNNNNNNNNNNNNNNNNNNNNNNNNNNNNNNNNNNNNNNNNNNNNNNNNNNNNNNNNNNNNNNNNNNNNNNNNNNNNNNNNNNNNNNNNNNNNNNNNNNNNNNNNNNNNNNNNNNNNNNNNNNNNNNNNNNNNNNNNNNNGGGGUGGCGGCUUCUGUGGCGGACAAGCGAGAUUGAGAUGGUUUCAGGAUGUGCAGAGAAGGUGUGCUGACACAGGUGCGAGAGACUAGUUGUAGAGGGUAUGCUGAGGGGUAGAGAUAGGCCGAAGAAGUACUGGACUGGGAGAGGUGAUUAGAUACGUUAUGACACAACUUCAUGUUACCGAAGACAUGACUCUAGAUAGGAAGGAGUGGAUGUCGCGUAUUAGGGUAUAAGGAUUGUAGCCGUAGUACUAGUCGUACCCUUAUAGUUUUUGCCAUUUAUUGUGUUCUCGAUUAUCACAUUAUUUUCAUAUUUGUUAGUUUUCCUUUCUUGUAGACUUUGCAAUGUGUUUUUUUUUAUUAAUGACUAUGUUUUCUUCAUUGUUUUCUUCUUUCUCUACUUGGGUUUGAUUUACUUGAGCCGAGGGUCUUUUGAAAACAACCUCUCUAUCUCUACGAGGUAGUGGUAAGGUUUGCGUACACUCUACCCUUUCCAAACCCCAUUUAGAAGGAUUUCACUGGGUAUGUUGUUGUUGUAUCAUGUAUGUAUAUAAAGCUGUAUCUGGACCACAUUUAAAAGAUAUAAACGUGCCUGAGCAAGCUAAUAGAAGGGCCAGUUAUACAUUUGACCGAUCAGCAGAAAAUAAUUACAUUCACGAGCUAAAUAUACGACACAUUAUUUUGUACUAUAAUAUAUGUACAUUAUACACAAACUAUUCAAUAUAUAUAUACACAUCAAAUUUAAGAAUCUUUACAAAGUAUAGUAUCACAAUGCUGACCAGAAUAAUAAUAGUAUAUAUAUAUACACACUGAUAAAAUGAGUGACAAACCAAGUCAUUAGAGACUUAUUUUAUAUUUCAUAGGCUUAUGUGCUCUGCAUUUACAACAAUGUUGAGCACGUGUAUGAAUGUUUCAAACUAUUUUAUACAAACUUUAGUAAAGGAGGAUCUCCAUUUGGUUGUGGCUUCCAUGUCUACAACUUCCACAAUAUGCAUUGUCAACUUGCUUUGACUUCUUCCAUUCUGCAGGCAGGCAAGAGCUAAUAGUCAGUCCCACCGGCAUCAAACAAAAAACAAAGUCUACGCAAAGAGAUUUAUUUUAUAAUGUGGUGUCCGUGCCAGCUUGGGCAUGCCUCAGAUAGUCCACCGAAUACCUAGUACCUCCCACCAAUGCAGUCAUACAAAUAGAUAUUUAGCGAGAAUGAAAGACUUUUAAUGGCAGGUUAUGUUAUGUUGUUAGAAAUAAAAUGACGCGAGGAUAAGUCAUGAUCAUACUUCCGUUGACAUGAAAAAAGAGGAUACAACCAUCUAAAGUGCCUCCUCUAACACAGAGGCGUCAAGCAUUUCACAAUGAGUUAUCUAAAUUUACUUUUUAUGCAUAAAGAAUGAGAUAUCUUAUAUAUUUAGUCAUGUAUGACUUUGAAAAAACAAUGCAAUGUCAGGCCAGAGUUUAGUCACACGGGCAUCAACCAAAUAAGCAUCGUCAUGCAUAGAGAGAACAAAAGACUUCUGUUGACAUUUCAGGAGAUGAUAUUAUAAAGAAACAUGUGAACAAGUCAUGAUCAUACUUUCAUUGACAUGAAAAAAGGGUUACGGUCAUUUAAAGUGCCUCCUCCUGCAUAGAGGCGUUGAACAUUUAAGUGAGUUAUCUAAUUUUCUAUUUAGAGGCAACAAAUAAGCUAUCUUAUAUAUUCAGACAUGUUUGACUUUCUAACAAUCGAUGCUUCUUUGAGUGAUAUCAAAAGACAAGCUCUAUCAAUUCUAUGAAAGAAACCUCUUGUCAGUUCUUCGCUUCAAUUCAGAUUAUUAAAACAUAAAGUCAAGGACAACUGCAUUUUGAAAGAUCAACUACAUGUUACGUCAGUAUAUAGAUUUAAUUCAUAAUUGAAAAUACUCAAAUGUAUAUAUCACAAUAUCACAAACAAUGCCACCUUUUCCAAACACAGAAAAGAAUAAAUGUCUUCUUUGUCUCCAUAGAUAAAGAAUUGGUGGUAUCUAUCAUUCGUUUAUUUAUCAGAAGGAAUAUGCUUCUAUUUUUCUUGUUCAUCCCAAGUAAUGUAAAGCAUUAUUCUUAUAUUAGCUUAAUCAUAAGUUUCAUCAAGGUAAAAGAUUUAUGAGCCGCAUAUUCUUUCUGAUUACUAAUAGUCGUCCCUUUAAAACUGAUUUAGUUCUGUUCCAAAAUAUAUCAUUCAGCUCUUCAGUAAUUUGUGAUUCAUUUGGUAAAGCACAGCUAAUUCAAUUACUUGAUGCUCCCCAUCUACUAACAGAACAUAUCCUUGAAAUAAAAGAAGAUAAGGAUGUGCCACACAUAGAUUGAAGAACAAAGGUUUGAAAAGAUCAAUUGUGCUCAGAAAAAAUUCAAGGGUUUAAUUAAAAAAGUACAAUGUUUUCAAUGAAAUCAUAAAGUAAUUCCUUGGGAUGGUUGGCACAUUGGACACCACAGGUUAUCUAUACCAAGUCCAAUUCUACACUGUGGGCCAAAUGACCUUUUCUAUUCAACUCAUGUUUUGAAAUCUUAUCCUUAUGACCUGUAGAUUGUAUAAUACUUAAAAUGAGCCGCCCACUUACACAAUGGAUUUGAAGUCAAUAGAAUUUGUAUCUGGAAGUAUUUACGCAGAAAAGUUCAACACGACUUAAAAUGAUGAGAUUCAAUUAUGGUGGAUGUCAGUUCUAACGGACUGGGUUUAGCUACCGCUUACAUGCUACAAGCUGCCAAAACCAAAACAGAGCAAUAGCGGAUAUACUAGGAAAAUGCUUAUAUGACAAACAAAAAUAUUGGAAUUUGUAACUGGACUAGAACUGUCUCCAGAUUUAGAUCAUAAAUUCUCAUUUCCCGCCCCAGCCUGUUCAGUACCUAAACUAUAUCUGUCUUAUCAAAAUGGCCAACUACUAAUCUACUUCUAAUCCCCUCAUUGAUCUCUCUGACACCCCCAAAAUGCCUAUUGUCGUUUAAGCAUUGCCUCCUCACUGUUUCAUCCAUGUAAGAAUCUCAUCUUUCCAAUAAAUGUUGUGUUAAGAUCUCGUUGCUAUCUUUUGAAAUCAAGUCAAGACGUUACAAAUGAAAAGUUACAACUUCCAAUACCAGUUUCAUAUAUUUCUUUUUUUAGAAUUGAACAAAAAAAAAACGCAGAAUGGUUAUCAUACUAAUAUUGACAUGCCAAAAGGAGAGACAUAAUAGAAAGGAUAUAUUCCUAGAUAACACUUUGUUUUAGGAUACAAACCCUAAAUAAAAUUCUACAAUUUCUUAAGAAGAUAGCAACAUUUCUUCUGAGAAGGACUAACAUGUUCCAGAAGAACAUGUGAUUCAAGGAUGUCCAUACAUAUGUGUCUAUAUGUUAAGAUUGAUGUAUUUUGAUGAUUAACAAACACGAUGUACUCUGAAGGAAUUGUGUUAAGAACCAGGUCCUUAAUGCUGAUGAAUAAUUAGCUGAAAGAUGUGAUUGUGUUGCGAUAUUUUAGGGAAAAUAUCUGUGUAUAUCUCCAUUAUUAUUCAUGCAAUAUAUUCUUAGAUAAUCACAAGAUCUUUCCAAAUUUUUUGAGCUCUAAAAGGAUUCAGUGUAUGACCGAAUUGGAGCUAUUUUUUUGUAAGACACGAUUUGAGAAUCCUUCUCUGAUUUGAUUUGAUUUGAUUUCCUUACUUGAUAGAAUCUUCGAACUAAGUAGCUUCUUUUUUCAUGUGCUUACUAAUGUGUAUUAUAUUAUUUUUUUAUUACUUAUUUAUUUUGAUGACCAUCGUGUCCGGUUUUCGUGCACCUUGACUAAUUCCAUCGAUACGUAUCACCUCCCUCCAACAAUAGGUAUCAGGCAACUCUGUCCCCCAAGGCUAGAACAUAUGGAAGAAUAAAUUUAUUGUAUACUACAUUGUCGGAAAUCAUUCAUUCACACAAAUUGAGAGAUUGAGCAACAGUUUGUCUUUUAGAGCUUUCAAGCAAUUUGUCGUUCUUGAAAGUACGAAGACUGAUCAUCUGAGAGUGAAGAACCAGGCCGAAGACUCUGGUCCUUGUGUGGCUACUUCAAUUCAUUGAGUCCAGUCCUGGGUUCACUUGUAAUAAGAAUUUGAGUUGUAACCAUCUACUUAUUUGGAAGUACUGUCAGGUUGCAGGUUGUUUUGUUAUGUGAAACAUAUUUGUUGUUCAAGUCAGUGUGACUUGAGGCAAGUAUAGCAGUCAGGUAACGGUUAAUAUCAAGGUUUAGAGUUAAUUCUUAGAUUGCAAGGGUUUGUAAUCUGAAUUUUCGGCUCACUUUGUUUAGUGGAGUCGGCUAACAGUCGUGGUUUUUGCAUCUUUUAAGGCUGGUGUUUUUCUGUGUUAAAAAUUCUGUGUUUUUACUAUUACACACUUUACUGUUUUUGUGUUCUAAACUGAAUUCUCAAAGGACCAGAUUCUACAGUCGAGUUAGGCAAAUAUUAAGAGCGAUGAAAAUUUGGUACAACCUAAUUCACCCCCCACCCCCCUUGAGUUGUCAAGGUGCACCUAAACUAACACUAUAUAUUGGUUAUUUACUGGAAUCUUGGCGAGUAAGAGCUAAAAAGAGAAUACAUUCACCAAAUAUUCCACUGUUUGAGUAUUUCUUAUAGUUCAUGUGGAGUAUGCUCUAUCAAGUAUCAGAGCCUCCUCGGGAUGUGAAGGUCUGUCUACAGAUUUAUACAAAGAAAACAGAUGCAAAAGGAGCAAUAGCCACAACUCCGGAAACCACACCCUGAACAGCCCAAACUUAAUCAUUUUCUCCAUCUCCUAUAGAUUCAUAAAGUUGCAUGGACAAAAGAAACAACGGUCUUGGGAUCGGUAUAAGUUACAAAGACCUUGGAGAUCUAGGCAUACAUUUUACCAUCUUUCACAGUGAAGCACACUGUAGUAAGAUACUUGCUCCAGUAACUUGAGAUAUGUUAGAGUGGGUCCGAAUCCUACAUUGGUUGGGGAAUGGACUGGUGGUUUGUUUAUAUGGGCUUGGAAAAUCCUCUCCCUCAUACUAACUUUUGGGGUUGAGUUAGGCCUACAUGGUAUCAGAGACAGGUUCAUCCCUAGAGACAAGUCCAUCCCUGUUUGGGUUCCCAUUCCACGCUUCAAUUAAAGCUGGGAGUGAAGGAGGGUGUUAGAGUGGGUAGUAAUCCCACAUUUGUUGGGGAAUGGACUGGUGGUUUGUUGGACAAUCCUCCCCUUAUGCACCAACUUUUGGGGUUUAGUUUGGCUCAGGUGCCAUGAUAUAUAGAUACAACACAUAAGAUAUGCAGAAAUUGUAUUCCCUACUGGCUUAAAAAAGUUAGCUGCUAAAAAGAAGACGUACCUAUAAUUUAUGCUUAAAUUUUUGUCUCUGCAUCCUUUAUUUCCAAGAGUGGGGACUUUGAAUUGAUAUUUCUUGUGAGCUUGUCUUCAUCCACCUUGUCUUCUUUUGUUUUUCCCCACAUAACAGCGUAAAAGCCAACAACAAUUAUAAUUGACCCCAUCAAGCUGUACUCAACAAAGGUGAUGAUUAGGUACAUGCAAACAGUACUUUACAACACUCAUGAGAGAGAGAAAAGAGUUCAUAAUAGAAACAUUUUUUCAAUUUGGACUGCCGCCAAUUGACAGAUUUGUAAGAUUGUAAAUGAAAUAUAAACAUACCUUCCAAGGUAGAAAAUAUCUCCUAAGAAGAUUAUACCCAAUGCAGCAGCAAUUACGAUUCCAAGAGGAUGGAACAUAGCAACAAAGAGGGGUCCCUUUCUACGAAUGCACCAAAACAUCACACUGACUUGAAAUGCUGAGCCAAAUAUUCCCUAAGGAAAGCAAAAUACACGUCAAAUGUUUGAGAUAUGCUGAAGAAUGCAACUGAUAUACCCCUCAAUGCUGAGCAAAUAUAAAAAAACACAUUCAGUGUUCUCUAUUGACAUUUGACAAUACUCAAAACAUUAUAGCUUCCUUAUAAUUACUGAUAAGCCCAGACUUCUUCUUAGUAAAACAAAGAGAUGUGUUUAGUUGUGAAUUUGUUGUUAAAUUAUUCAUAGAUAAUAAUAAAAAAAAAAUUUGAUAAUUUGUUGGUAUAACUUGAACAAUUUCCUUCUUCUAUUACUCUUAUGUAUUUUGUUGACAUUCUAAUUUAUUGUUUAUUUGGGAAGUUUGUUAAGAAAAAAUUUAUAGUAAAAUUUUACUCCAAAAGGUAAAAUUUGAUGGUUAGCUAUUUUUCAGAGUGGUCUAUGGAUAGUCUGUCUUAUUGGUGAAAUCUGGCCUCUCAACAUAAAUGGGUAAGUAAUUUAAAAAUAUUACAAACUUUUGACAUGUCAACCAAAUAUAUAGCGAAGUACCAAAAUUAUUCUUUCAAAUGAGUGGUGGUUAGAGUUCCACAAUCUUUCAUUUUCUCUAUCCUUCUAAAAGAAUGAACCUCUGUAUCAAAUGGGUCCAAAUAAGUCAUGUUAUCAAAAUUAAACUGCAGAUGCUAGAUCAAAUAGUUUCCAAAAAGAAAAAGAUAUUAUUUUUGAGAUAGACUCAAAUGGAAAAUGUGUCCCAUAAAUGGAAUUCAAGGGAUUAUUGAAGAGCAAUGCAUGAACGUAAUUCAAAAUAUCAUUAGCAAUCUGGUAUAGGAAGUAAAUGAACUAUUUCAAUAUGUACUUGUCUCUUCGCUUUUGGUGCUACACCCAUGACAACAUGGGUGUGGGUGUGGGAUCCGUAUCGGAUAUGGUCAAUCAAUUUUGGGUACUUUGAUCAAAAUUGAUUGAGAAAUUCAAGACAAAUACAAUGAUUUCUGACAUCAAAACAAAAGAUAGGGUGAAAUCAUAAUUUAGGCAUAUGUUUUUUCAUCCUUAAAAGAUAUUUGUAUUAAAAAUCCGCAACCAAAAGGUGUUUUAAAGAUAUAUACAGGUCAAUAUCAUUGUUGAAUGUGCAAUGAACUCAAGAAGUCUAUCAUGACCUUUAUAUCAUUUAAAAUAGUCAUGUUACACCAAACAAACAGUAAGGAGAUGCAUAUGUACGUAAUAAUAAUUAGAGAUGCAAACUUGCUCUCAAUUAUCCGUGCAUUCCUCUCCUUCCAAACAAUCCACCUUUACUUAGGCAUUUUUUUUUCUAUUUUUAGUUAUUUGAAUUAUUUUUAGUUGAAUCCCAGUACGGCUGUACCCGUAUCCAUACUUGGAUCCAUACCCCUUAAAAUUUAAAACAUGAAGGAUCCGCGCCCAUGGCGGAUACCCACACCCUAGUUCGAGCAACUUAGAUAUACUUUCCCCCUUACAUUUUAUAUUGUGGUGCUUAACUGGUAGGCUGUUUAAGAAAGAAAAAGAAAAACUUCUGGUACAUACCAAAAACUAUGUUGCUUGGACUCUUCAUAAAUGUCAACCGAUGCAUGUCGGGUUCUUCAAAAGGAGUGUAUUUUUGGAGAAUUUGACACGGGUGGGGCAUCGAAAAUGAAGAGCCCGCGCAAUGUAGACCAAAAGUGCCCUUAGAACAUGUGGUCUUAAACAUAUCAUGAUAUUUCUAUGGUUAUGAACAUAUCAUUGAGGAUAAAAUGAAAUGUUUAAAGCUAAAAGAAUUUUCAAAUAUAGAAAGAUGUCAUGCUUCUUGGAACAAACAAAAAAAAAGAAAGAAUGUCAGAUAAAGGAACAGUUACAUAGAGAAAAAAUAUAUUCCAACCACAGUCAAGAUUAUUGUCCAAUGUAGAUUGUCAAUUGAAAGUUGUGCUUGUUCAGAAGGCACAUUACAUCAAGACAUUUUCACAGUACAAGCAAUUUGUUGGCAAAAGAUUUAGGUCCCCCCCCUCUUUCACUUUUAAGAAGAUUCAUGAAGAAAGAAACUUUUCAAAAGUUAGAAGUAUUUAUUUACUUAUUGAUCACUUAGCCAAUAUCUUCUUCUCCUCCCUUUCCUAUCAUUACAUGUUAACUGACUGUCCAACACAUACUUCCCGACCUGAACACUCUUGGAACACCCACUAAAAUCAGUACAUAUCAGCCUCAUUAUGGACCAGCUUAUCCCUCUCUAUCUUUAUUUUGUUUCUAACCUUAAGAGAUUCAUGCUUUAGAACAAACUCCGUGCUCUAGUGUAGUACCUAACCUGAUCCCACCUUUGCAUAACACUCUAACUGAGAUUAAGUAAGAGCAGAAACAUAGAAAAGUACCGUACCUUAGUUUGCAAUUGAUAAAGUCUAGGUCUAAAUUCUAAUACGAUCAAAUUGAGCUAAGUUAAGAUUAGGGGAUUGGGUGGAGGAAAAUGUACAAUUAGCUAGAAUUUACGUCUGAUACCAAGCAGGUGGAGACCUAGAAUCAGGUUAAGUAAUUCCAUACAGAGCCAGGAGCCUUACAAAUACUUCGUCCAUGUAUAUCUUAGCAUGGUCACAAACUCACUAUACGAGCAAACAGAAUAUAAAUGCACACAAUUUACCUACUUACUGAGUAUAGAACAGCAAACAAUCUCGUACCAGGUUGUAGCAACCAAGCAUUUAAGUUCCUGUCCAUAAACAGAGAGACAAUUGCUGAUAUAAUGGAUGCAAAGAAGCAGUAAAAGAAGACCACAAUCAGCUCAACUGGAUAUUUCUGAAGGACGGAAGCCUGUAAAAAGAAAAAUAUAUCAGUUGUAGUGCUGAUUCUCAACUAAUAAAAGAGUCACUUUCAAGGAGUUAUUCUCACACCUGUACAAUUAAAUAUAACGAAGACACUACACAAUCCACUACAAGAUAUAGUCCUCCAAUUAUCCAGUCAGUUUCCUGGAAAUGAAGAUAAUUUUGAGGCUUCGAAGAGGAAGUCAACAAAAUUUGUGGUCCCUUGUAAAGAGUGGCGGUGAAUGCUCCGGCAAUUGAGACGAUGGUUCCAAUGGAUUUAAUCAGAGUACUUGUACUUCGACAAUCUAAUUUUUCCAUCCUAAAACAAAGCAAAACAAAAGUGUAUGUGUUACUUUUCCAGUCUCUUGUGAUCAAAGAGACCAUCAUUAUAUUCUUUCUUAUCCUUCCAUGGUUCCUGAAUUUCCCGAGAAUCUCCCCAUUACAUUUUUUUUGUUCAUGCGUGCUCUAUAAUUGGAUAGAAAUGAAGAAUUCAAUUGAAUUUGAAAACAAUUAUACUAACGAUUGAAACCAAAGAAACUGUGAAGAAACAGUCACACUACUAACUGCAACAUUUGUAACAUCAAAAACAUAACUACACCAAGUAGAAAAAAACAUAUUACGAACAACUCCAGUUCAGAGGGAAUCUGUUUUAUGAUAUGCCUGAAAUCGAAUAAACUCGCUUACUUAAUACUCCCUAUGUUCCAAUUUAUAUGAUAAUCUUCUCUCUUUAGGCAGUUCCAAAUAGAAUGACACAUUUUUAUAUUUGAAAACUAUUUAACUUAGACUUCUCACUUUACCCUUAAUGAUAUACUAGCUAUAAGAAUGUCACAUUACAUUUACGAGUACCAAGCUCUAGGACUAAUUAGUCAAUCUUUCAUAAACUCCAUUCUACUCUAAAAUCAACUAGAGCAAAAGUGAGAAGAGGGGCAAAAAAAAAAAACCUGAAAAUGACGGCAAGUAUGAAAGUAAAACCUGGGAUGAGGUUGAGCAUUGCUGAGGCAAACGAAGCAGAAGUAUAAUUAAUCCCAGUAUACCCAGUUAGCUGAGCUGAACAACUACAAAAACACGAAAAACUACUGAUUCAAUAAACAGUAAAAAAAUUCACAAAUAAUCCAAUUGAAAAUGAGAAAAUCACAUACCCAAGAACACCCAGCAAGAAAAACCAACAAAUGAGUGAGAAAUUGAGUGGCGGACGAGUUGACCUACACAAUCAAAUAAGUAAAUCAAUUAAAGAUGGUAACUUUUUUGUGGGUUUUUCGAAUUGAAGCGAAAGGGUACCUGUAGAAGAAGAGAGAAGGGAGGAGAAUAAGGGCUGCAAGAGUGUUGGAGUAGAAAACGAAGGUGAAAUUGGUCAUUCCGGCGGACAUGGCUUUUUUGCCUACUAUCAUUAAACCCACUUGUGCGAAUUGGGUUGAAGCCAUUCCUAUAUAUGGCAAAGCUACCUUCAUCUCCAUCGCCAUUUUUGAGUGUCUUGUUUCUGAACUUGCGCUUCACCUGUAGAAAAAAUCAGUUUCAAAGUUUGUUAGGAUACUGAGGCCCCAAAUGAUUGGUAUCUCUUUUUUCAUCUUUGACGCAUCUCUCAGCAGUAACAAAUAUCAGAUAAUCCUGUGUUCGUGUCCAAAUGAUUGGUAUCUCUUUUUCUUUUCUUUUUUUAAAUGUUGUCCUAUCUCUCACUAGUAAUAGAUAUCAGAUAAUCUGUGUUCAUGUUCAUCAACAUUAAGAUAAAUGGAAAGAAUUGGUUAGUGACCACUAUACCUGAAAUCUCAUGAUUUACAACUAUUUUAUUGACCACUAGAUCACAGCUUUUCGAUGUUGAUAUCUCCUUGCAUUUGCUAUUUUCCUUCAUUUAUUUAGUAGUAUGGUUUGAAACUUGAGAGAUAAUGGGUCAAUUUCUUUAUGUUUUUUAGCUUAAAUAUGAGGUUUUUAUUUGCCAUAAGAUUUGAAUUUAUAACUCAUCUCAUCCACGCAUCACAUUUUGUGUUUUUUAUCACAGGACCAAAGCCUUGGGUUGGUUUAUAGUAUAACUUUGAAAGAAUGAACAUGAUUAAACCAAAAUCUUUUUGCUACAUUUGAGGUAUGAAAUCUUUUGUAUAAAAUUGCUCGUUUUAUUCUUUAAAUGAAAUGAUCUUUAAUUUUUGUCCUUUAAGUAGGUUGGUCUAUAAUUUUUGCCCUUUAGGAAUAAAAUGUGUACUUUGUGGGACAUAAGUUCUUUAGAAACUAAAGUUAUGCCCGAACAUCACCUAUAUAUUAUAACAUGAAAAUAUAAACUUAUGUUAUACGAAAAAUUAUUUGUUACGACUUACGAGUGAAUGAAGAUUAAAAACCAGCACAAGAUAGGAGCAAAAUGAAUAUUCAUAGAGAUACAAUGUAAUUGUUCAUAAACAUUCCAACCCAAAAGAACUUUCAAUAAGCCCACUAGCAAAGUGUUAGCCCUUAAAAAGAUUUUGUCUCAUAUAUUAACCUCAGGAUCAUCAUCAAUUUUGUCUUGUAAAAAUGGCAUCUUCUUGUUGUUUGAUCCUAAGUUCUUCUCUUUCUUUUUCCAUUCUUUACUUUGUCCCCAUAUCACUGAAUAAAAUCCAAUCACAAUGAUGAUUGAUCCCACCAAACUACAAAAGAAAAAACAGAAAAAACGACUCAACAAAUUAUGUCACAUCAAUUACUGUAUUUACUAAUUCAAAAUUCUGAAUCCAUGACUCGUCAAAUAUAACAAAACAAAUAUAAAUAGAAAGUAAAUGAAACCUUAAACAUGUGUGAUUUACCUUCCCACAUGAAUAAUUUCACCCAUAAAUAUGCUAGCAGCCAUAGCAACAACAAUGCCUAAUGGAUGAAACAUGACAACAAAGAGAGGUCCUUUUUUCCUCACACACCAUGCACCUAUACUAACUUGGAAUACAUUUCCAAAUAAACCCUGCAUUAUUUCAAGUAUAACGCGUUAUAAAAAUCUUUAAAGAUCAAAUUCAUCAAGUUUAAAUCAUGAAUCUGCCUUUCAGAUAUAUACUAAACUUAUAUAUAUCGACUUAGUUACCGAGUAUAUGAUAGCCAUUAAUCUGCUGUGAGGGCUUAAACUCCAAGAAUUCAAAUCUCUUUCAACAAUUAAAGAGAAAACAGCACAUAAUAUUGUAACACAGCAGCUAUAAAACAACAUUAAAAUCAGCUCUGCUGGAUAUUUCUUAAGGACAAAUGCCUGCAAAACAUGAAACAGAGGAAAACAGAUCAUGAUUGAUGAAAAAUGAUUUCCAAUUUAUGUGACACAGUUGGAAUUUCGAGAAUCAACCAAGUUUCUUUGACUGAAACAAUGUAACAAAUUGCGAUUUUAGUACUUUUUACCUAAUUUCCAAAAAUAUCAUAAUCAAAAUUUAGAAGUUUGAAUCUCGAAAUUCCAACUAUGUCACAUCAAUUGAGACAAAGACAGUAAUUUGUUGACAAUUGUAAUUACCUGUGAAAUGAUAAAGAAAGAAGCAAUUAGAGAGCAAAUCAUAGUGAGCAAACCUCCAAUGGCCCAAGCAGAAGGGGUUGUUAAUAUUGUAUUUAAAGGACUAAUUCCAAAAACUUGAGGGCCUUUAUAUAAAGUUGCAACAAAUGCACCUAUUAUUGAUACCAAAGUCCCAAUAGUUUUAGCCAUUGUGCUCAAACUUUUGUACUCAAAAGUUUCCAUCCUGAUUAAAUAAAAAAUAAAAAUAAAAUUAGUGAACACAAAAGUUGAACAUAUAUUUAGAUACAAAUUGAAAAGGUUACUCCCUUCUUUUCUUUUUAGUUGUCACGUUGUGUUUUUCGAAAGUUAAUUUGAUUGACUUUCCAAGCUAUAUCAAAGUAUAUUAAAUUUUUUAUUUUCAAUAACGAUAUGAAAAGGAUUAUAAAUUACAAUUUUUUUUCAUAUCUAUCACUAUGAUGAAAAAAUACAUGUUAAAAUAGGAAUAAUACAUAAAAAUGUCUUUUAACUUAGCCUCGAUGGGCAUCUAUGCACUCUAGCUUUGAAUGUGCAUAAGUAGACAUUUAAGCUAUCUAAAAGUAAAAACAAGUAGACACACACGUCCUAUAUGGCAUAGCACACAUAGGAUGCCAUGUAGGAUGCAGAACUGCUACGUAGGACGCCACAUAGGACGCGUCUAUUUACUUGUUCAACUUUUGAAUAGUGGCGGAGUUAGGAUUUUUAAUAAGGGGUUUCAAAAUCUGAAGAACUAAACAUGACACGAACUAACUGAAAAGGGUUCAACAUCUACUAUAUAUACAUAAAAAAUAAUUUUAACCAUGUAUGAAUAGUAUAUUUUCCGCCGAAGGUGGUUCGGAUGAACCCCCUAACAGAAGGCUGGCUCCGCCCCUGCUUUUGAAUAGUUUAAGUGUUUACUUGUGCGCACUCAAAGUUGAAGGGCAUAUAUGUCAGUUGAUGCCAAGUUAAAGGGCACAUUUAUGUUAGUCUAAAUUCAUAUUUUCUGAUUUUAAAAAAAGGAAACAGUAAGAAAUAAAAAAGAACGGAAUGAGUAUUAUAUGUUAAAAGAAAGGUGAUUUAAAUUUAAACCUGAGAAUGACUGCAAGAAUGAAAGUGAAUCCUGGAACUAGUUGCAAUAUUGCUGUGGAAAGUAAUGGAGAUGAAUAUUGAAGUCCAAGAAAUCCAAGCACUUGCAUCAAGAAACUAUAAAAUUGCACUGUUAUUAGUCAUUUUUUCUCUAAAAUUGAAUUGCUAAAUAGAGCCACAAAUUUACAUUUACAUACCCCAUUAUGCCAAGCAAGAAAAAUCCAUAGAGAAAAGUAGGCCAAAGAGGUGGAAUAGCUGACCUGUAUUUUCGGAAAAAAAUAUAUACAUAAAAUAUCUAGUUUUACAGAGAGACCACGAACUCACCUGCCACAUAUUUUGCAUAUGAAUUCACUCAUGUGCUCAAAUGGUAAGCAUGAUUCACAUCCAAUUCUAAGAUUGUGGAUUCGAGUCAUCAAAAAAAUCAGAGUUUAUAUCACAAAAGGUCACUCAAGUAUAAGAGUUUAUCUAGCAGAGCCACUAAACUUUAUUUUGUAUCAAUAAAAUCACUCAACUUAUGAUUUUAGAUUUUCUAAAAUCACUCAACUAAAUUUAGUGUGUAUGAGUUUCAGUCACACACAAUUGAAACACAUAUUAAAAUUGGCUAAAAUUUCAUGCAUGUGCGUCUGAAUUAUUUUGGUCAAGAAAAUAAUAAUUUUAUUUUUCAAAUUUCAACAUCCAAAUCUACUCCAAAUAAGCUCAUAGUUGAAACAUAAAUUCCAUAUAUCAUGAAGAACACACUUCAAUUCAUAAAUUUGUCAAAAUAACAACAAACAUAUUUAAAAUCAUUUUAAUUUUUUGAAGUUUUUUAAAAUUAUAAAUUCAAAUCUGAGACGAUACGUUAAAAACAUAAAUUAUAUUUUUUUAUUAACGUAUACUUACAAAUCAAAUCAAUUAUAAUCAGUGUUUCUUCCGUCACUCAAAUCAAAUCAAAUCAAAUCAUUAAUCAAUUUACAUACCUAUGAAGGAAGAAGGAAAGUGGAAUAAGAAGUAGAGUUGAAAAAGCACUUGAGUAAAAAGUAUAAGUGAAACUAGUCAUCCCAGUUGACAUAGCCACUUUAGCUACCACAGCUAAUCCAACUUGUGCUAAUUGCUGAACUAUCAUGGCUAUAAAUGGAACCACUCCACUCAUUUUCAUCUCUUGAUAUAUGAUGAAUUUCCUCGUGAAAUACUCUGGAUCGAAAAAAUUUAAUCAGCUCUAAUAAAUUUUCAAUUCGAAACUUGUUCAAAUUGAUUCCUUUCGAUUUUCAUAUCGAAAAUAUAUUUACAAAGUUAUUCUAAAAACCAAUGAACAGGUUUGAAUUUGCUUUAAUGUGAAUUCAAAUUAAUGAGGUUCCUAGAAGUAAUCAAAUUGUAUGGGAAGGAACAUAUAUCGAUAUGUCACAAUAUUUUAAUUGUCUAUUUCUAGUGUAUAUUUAUAUAUUCUUGAUUUGUCUUUUUGUCAUUAUUAAUCGAAAUUAACGAUGGAUCUACGUGAUAUUUCAAAUUUAAUUUUAUUAUGACUACUUUCUUUAUUUUACUUAUUUCAUACGUACCAGCAUGCGUGGUAUUCCCUUAUUUUAUUGAACAUAGUGGGUAGGUGGUGUUUAUCACUUGCACCAAUAUAUUCAUUUAAAAUUAUUGAGUUUUUAAAUUAUACAGACGUCCAAUUGAAAUAACAAUUGGUUAAAUAAUAUUUUACAGUCUACUGAUCAUAGUUACGCAGUGUUCCUAGAAGUUGUCAUUAUGCUCAGUUAUUUCACAAGGUUAUGAUAUACUAUUUUGUUCCAUUUUAGUUGUGAUGCUUUUUUUACACGUUUCUCGAGAAAAUUUACUAAAAAUGUAACUUGAUUAAAUUAUUUGUAUUUACUUAUUUAUAUCGAUUUAAUACAAUAUAAAUUAAAACACUAUUUUUACAACAACAUACAAUUAUUCCUUUUCUGAAAAUGAAUUGAUUAUGUAUUUAUGCUGGUGGAAGAUAACAUUAUGUAUCUUAUAAAAUUAAUCGAGAUGCACACGAGCGAACUCGAACACCGCAUUUAUGCCUCAUUUUGCAGCAGAGGGACAUUAUUUUCAGCAAGUGUUUCUAAGUUGUUCCCCUCAUAGUAUUUUUCUUGAGUUUUUCCCCACAUCACACCAUAAAACCCAAUCACUGUGGUCACUGAUCCCACCAAACUGCAAGAAAUGUCUAUAUUAGUGUACACAUAUCAUGUCUUAAUGUUAUUUGACUGAAUACAAAAAAAUUUAAAAUGAUAAAAAAGUCCUAGAAUAUAUAUAGUGAUGUUAAACUUUUUGCAGCUUUAAUAGUAUAUUAUUAAGGAUUAAUUUUUUAAAAUUUUGAAAAGAGGGAGUAAUAAAUUAAAAUUAAUGUCAAAAGUUACAGAAUUCAUGUAUUAGUACAGCUGGUCCAUAUUAUUUAGUCUUUUAACGUGUUUGUACACCUUUUAAAAAAGAUAUCCAAAAGUUUUAAUUAUAAAAAUAUUAUAUUUGCCUGAAUCAAAAAUAACAUUUACCUCUAUUAAACUUUUCACUUAAUUAAACUUUAUUAAUUAGAGCAGUAAAAAGGAAUUUGAAAAAACAUAAUAAAUAUUUCUUGUUUUUUCUAAAAAAAAUAUUAAAAUAUUUUAAAACAAAUUUAUUUUGUCAAAACGAUGCAUAUUUAGGAUUAAAAGAGAGAAGUAUUGAAAACACUUCUGAACUUGGCAUGAAUAGUUAGUUUAGUCUCCAAACUAUUGACAGCCUUAAAAACACCCAUCUACUUGACUAGUUGAUCUUAAAUACACCCCGAUCUGCCACAUGGAAUGACAAGUGGUCUGAAACUCUUGUAGGAGCGUGAGACUUUUAAUAAAAAGCCGCAAGAAGUGUUGAAAACAACCCCAAACUUGGCGAGAAUUUAGGGGUGUAUUUCACCCAUUUGGCAAGAUCGGGAGUUUACUUAUUUAAGUUCAAUUAGUCAAGUAGAGGGAUUUUUUUAAUACUGUCAAUAAUUUAGAUAUGAAACUAAUAAUUCGCACCAAGUUUAAAGAUAUUUUCAAUACUUUUCUCAAAUUAAAAAGAUUAUUUAUGAUAAUUAAUAAGUAACAAUACAUACCUUCCUAAGUAGAAAACAUCUCUAAAGCAAAAGGUACCAAUGAGAAGAGCAAAAACAAUGGCAAAUGGUUUGAACAUGGAAACAAAGAGAGGAUCUGUCUUCUUGAGGCACCAUGUUGUCAUGCAACUCCUGAAUGCUAUACCAACUAUACCCUGAAUGAACAAAUUAUAAUGUAAGUUAAUUGUCUUAAAUAAGUACAAUGGAUACUUUUGUCUAUUGAUAUACCCUUCCUCUUCUUAGUGAAGGUCAAACAUCAGACAUUUUUAUCUGAAGUUUGAUAUGACUUGCCAAGAUCAACUUCAGAUAUUCUUUUAUUGAAGUUCUGAACUUGAUAAGGCCAAACUUUGGACAUUUUUGCUUGAACUUGUGGUCUUGGCAAGACUUCAGAUAUAUACUAUGGCUUGUCAAGAUUAACUUCAUAUAUUAUUGACUGAAAUUGUAGACUUGACAAGGCCCGACUUUGGAUAUAGUUUUUAUUGAAAUUGUAACCUUGCUAAGACUUCAGAUAUGUAAUGGCUUGCCAGCCAACUUCAGACAUAUUUCAUUGAUGUUUUGACCUUGACAAGGCCUAACUUCGAGCAAUCUUUUACAAAAGUUAUGGCCUUGACAAGACCAACUUCAGACUUUCUUUUUCUGAAAUUGAUUGCCUUGUUUGUUUUCUUGUAAUUUUUAUAAUUAUCCCCAAUAAUUUGUUUUAACAUAUCAAAUAACAAAAAAUUAAAAAUAUUUUGACAAUUUUUCUCAUAAAUCAAUACAUGUACUUCAAAUCAACCCAAUUAUUAGAUGAAUUGAUUUAAUAUAAGUGAGUCAUUAACACGUCCAAUCAUAAAUAACAUAGACAAGUUAUAUUUUCGUGAACUAAUUUUACUAUCUUAUAGAUUAGAGUUAGAAAUAAAAGGAAUGUGAGUUUGUUGUUAGUAUUACCGAAUAGAGAAUAGCAAUGAGACGAAUAUCUGGAUAUAUCAUCCAAGCAUUUGGAUUUCUCUCCACCAAAAGGGAUAUCAAUGCAGAUAUGAUGGUCACAAAGAAGCUAUACAAACACACUAUAAUCAUCUCUUCUUGGUAUAUCUUAAGAAUUGAAGCCUAAAAAAACCAAAAAUAAAUUAAUAAAUAAUCGUAGUCAAUUAAUCACACAUACCCAAAAGUCAUCGAAAGUCAUUUUCUGAUGUUUCAUUGACAGAAAAUACAUUUUCAAAAAUAAAGAGUUACUUUUGUCAUACCAAACACAUUCAAGUGUUUAGGCACUAAUUGAGUAUGUGAGUGUGUUUGGCACCAUGUUCAAUAUUUUUCGAAAAAUGACUUUAAAAAAAAUCAGUGAUCAAAAGUCAUUUUCUGGUGUUUCGUUUGUAGAAAACACAUUUUUAGAAGUACCAAACAAUCAAAUCUGACCUGAAUAAUGUACCAUAGUGAAGCAGACAUAGACUCACAAGCAAGUAUAACUCCUCCAAGAAUCCAAUUUUGUUGAGAUGAGAAAGUAGAAGUCAAGUGUUGGUUAAUGAUUGGAGGGCCCUUAUAAAAUGUCAAAACAAAUGCACCUCCAAUUAAAACAAAAGUGCCAAAGACUUUGGCAUAGCUACUCCAACUUUUCCAAUUGAUCACUUCCAUCCUAUCAAGGGGCAAUCAACAUAUCUAAAUCACUUACUCGCAUCAAAUAUUUAUAAUGAAACUUUACUAUGAUUUAAAAUUAUAAAAUUAAAAUAGAGAGAGUAACAAUAUAAUUUAACAUGAAAGUGAAAGAUCAUUUCCUCAAAUGGUUGAUUGGUUUUGUUUAAUCCUUUAUAAAUUUACUUCUAAUUUGAUGUCAUUUUUAUAAAAAAUCUUCAUUCACAUAUAAAAAAAAUAUGAAAAUAACAACACACAAAAAAAUCUGAAAAAGAUCAUUUUUUUCCAUUCAACAUGAUGAAUGAAGAGAUCAUUUCCUAUACAUAAAAUUUUUAUUUAUCACAUUUGUUAGAAAAAAAUAACUAAAAAGACAAGGAAUUACUAAAUUUGACAAAGCCAAGAGAAUAUAUAAAUAUAUAGGUACCUGAAAGUAAUGGCAAGGAUGAAAGUAAAUCCUGGAAUAAGAUUGAGCAUUGCUGUGGCAAGUGUUGGAGAGCUAUAACUUAUACCAACAUAAUCACAUAUUUGCCCAAAAUACCUAAGUAAACACAUCAAACAAGAAUUCUUCCAUAAGAAAAUUAAUUCCUCUGUCCUAAUUUAUGUAUUGUAUAGUUUGACUCAUCACGUAAUCUAACAUAGAAUUUUAAAACUUGUAAUCUGAAAUAAGUCAUGAAUAUUUAUGUUACUAUAAAUUAUUUUAUUAAGGAUAAAAUGAGCGUUCUAAAGUUAAACUGUAGCAGAAGUGUAUUCUUCUUUUUGGGAUUGAUGAUUAAAAAAGAAAAUAAGUCGUAUAAAAGCAGUACAAAAAUUUGAACUUAAAUAGAGUUCUUUGAUGUGUCAGUAAAGAAACUCUUACUAACAAGGGCUUUAGUGAAAUAGUAAGUACUCCUUCAUCUUUUAACUAGAGGUCUCGAUUUCGAGUUCCUCUGGGUAUGAAGUCGUCUUUGUUAGAAAACACUUUACCCCUCAAUGUGAGAUUUUUCGGCCCGAAUCCAAAUUUAAUCAAGACUCUAAUAUAAAAUAUGAAGCACCGAAUGGAAAACUGGAAAAAAAAAAACUUUGGUACUAAUUUAAUAAUAUAAAAUAGAGUACUAAUUACCCGAUUAAAGCAAGCAACAAGAUUCUCCAAAACACCGAGAAGGUCAAUGGACGGCGCCGUGAUCUACAAAUUAACAGGAGUAAAAUAAUAAAUUUAUUAUAUUAAUCAUUAUUAUUUUUAAUAGAUGUAUUAAAUGAAAAUUUGACAAUUAAAUAAAAACAAAGGAAAUAUUUUUAUUGUUAAAUAUUCUCUUAAUAUGUACUAUAAAUAAUUUAUCAACAACUUAAUAAGAUACCUUUUUAAAAUUCAAAAUUCUAACUCACCUUUUAAGUAAAAUGAAGAUAAGACGAUAAAUUAUCAUCAGUAUUUACAACUACUUCUGAUUUAUAUACAUUACUAAAAGAUUGAAUUCCAAACGAUUAGAUCAAACCUCGACAAGAAGGGGCCGAAGACUUGAUAGGUAUAGUGACUUAGAUUCCAUGAAGUAUCGUCAGACUUACCACUAGUUGUGUAGGAACACUUAACAAAGAUACCUUUUACUCCAAACACCAAUUGAUAGAUCAAGAAUUCAAGUAAUUUCAUGAAAUAAAUAAGGAAACACAUCAAUUGAGAAGAGUAAUGAGAUGAAAGAAGAAGAAGAACCUUGUUAUAAAGAUGAAGAUGGAAGGAGGGAAAAGGAUGAGAGUAGCAAUAGCAUUUGAGUAGACAACAAUAAUGAAGCUGCUAAGUCCUUUAGACAUGGCUAUUUUGCUAAUUAUCAUACUUAUAACUAUGGCUAUUAUUGCAAAAAUCAUUCCUACACUAGGCAUCAACAUCUCCUUCCAUGAUGAUCCUUUCAUUUUUCUUAAUUUGUUGGAGAUGAUUUAGCAAGAUUUUUUUCCCUUUUUUUUUUCCCUUUUUGUGUAUUCUUUUAUAAUCAAGAUAUAUAUUGCUUUAAUUAAUUAUUUUAGCCCCACAUUGAUAGAACCUUUUUUAUUUAUUUAUUGUCAAGUUGAAGUUUGACUAUUGGAAAUACUAAUUGUUUGACAAGUAAUUUUAAGUGAAAUACUAAUGUUUUUCACAAAAAAUAAAACUAUCAAGUGAAAUUUAUAUUAGAAACAGUUAGAGUGGUAUUAUAUCUCUACUUUCCCUUAUCUCAUGUAGUUAGAAUUCUAUAUAUACCCAUGUAUAUGUUAUGUAAAAGCAAAUUGAUCAAUAAUAUACAUCAGUUCAUAUAGUUUUAUAUGGUAUCAGAGUUAAGUUCAUCCCCGUUUGGGCUUCCGAUCCACGUUCCAGUUGGACUUAGGUGUGAAGGAAGUGUUAGAGUGGGUAAAAAUCUCAUAUUGAUUGAAAAAUGGACUGGUGGUCUCUUUAUAUGAACUUGAGCAAUCCUCCCCUCAUAAAUUAGUUUUUUAAGGUUGAGUUAGGUCUAAGAUCCAUCUUUAUAGAAACAACUACUUAUAUUUAUUUUUUCCAAUUUCCACUUCAAGUACUAUUUUUCUUCAUUUUAAUCAAAUAUUAUUCAAGGAGUUGGAUAAAACUAUAUAAUAGAGGGACAAAAAUAAAAGAAAAUAUUAUUGGUGGGACAGUUGAGUAUUUUAUAUAUUCAUUGCACCAUAAAAUAAAUUAAUAUAAUUAAAUAAGGUUGUUGACUUUAAGGCCUUAAUCAUUGACGAGGAAGAAAAUUAUUGAACUAAAUGUGUCAAAAAUGAUUGUUUUUUUUAUAUGAUAUAUUUAUAUAAAGAACGAGAAAGGAAACAAGAUUCAGUCGGUGCUUAAUUAAGAAUUUUUUUUUAAUAUGUUAUAUUUAUAUAGUGUAUGUAUCAAAAAUUAUUGUUUUUCCUAAUUUGAUAUUAGCACAUAUACUCAUAUAAUAUCUCAUUCAUUGUAACUAUAAACAAUAAUAACAUAUCCAAUUACUGUAAUCAUUUAAAUAAAAUUGAAGAGAAUGAUAUGUACGCAUUCACUUAUCAGUUAUCCUAUUCCUUAAAAAUAAAAAUAAAUACGAUUUAAAAGAAAAACAAAACACUCAUGCAUUAUUAUCACUUUGCCUAUGUAGUAAAGAUACUCUUGUAGAAUCCUUGCUUAUGUCUUUAACACACAUUUCCUCUUCAGCUUUUCCCCACAUCACACAAUAGAAACCCAAAGCUAUGAUCAUUCCACCAAUUAUACUGCAAAAAAAUCAAAAAAAAUCAUAGAGAAAUUAGCCAUUAACUUAUAAUUAAUUAAAGAUUAAAAGAAAGAAUCUUGAAAUUAUUAAUGGAGUAAUUAAUUUAAUUACUAACUUUCCAACAUGAAGAACAUCACCAAGAAAAAUGACCCCCAUUAUGACUGCAGCUAUCAUUCCAAGUGGCUUUAUCAUUACAACAAAAACAGGUCCUUUCUUCUUCAAUGCCCAAAUAAAAACUAGACUUCUAAGGACAAUCAUCAAAAUUGCCUGCAAAUAAAAGGAAAAAAACGUAAGAAACUUACCUAAAUCCCACUAGUUAGGAGGUAAUUAAUAUUUAGAUAUACUCUAGUUUGCAAUAUUAUGUAUCUUAUCAGAUUUUGGUGCGUCCAGAUACAUGUAUCUCGAGAAUCAAGAUACAUGAGAUCAAAAUUAGAUGUAAUUUGUUCUAGAUACAUUAUAUCCAAGUAGAUUCACAUGUAUCUGGAAUACAUAACAAAUCUCACUCGCUUCCCUCACCUCUCUCCCAUCUCGCUCGCCUCUCUCCCUAUUUUAGUGCAUCUGGUAGCAAAAUUAUAUGUAUCUAAGUGUAUAUUUCUUAAUAUAUGGUAUGAAAUUCUUAAUUAGUGGUAAGAUAUGUAACAUUUUGAAAGUAUAGGUAAUAAUAAUACUACCUUCGUCCAAUCCUAUUUUCAUGUUGCGCUUUUCAAAAGUUAACUUGAUUAAUUUUCAAAGUUAAAUUAGAUUACAUUAAUUCAAUAUUUUAAACAAAAAACUUAGAUAUUCAAAAACUAUACGAAAAGUACUAUAAAUUGCAAUUUAUUGCAUAUCAAUAUGAUGAAAAAAAUACCUCGUAAAAUGUUAGUCAAAAUUUUUAUAGUUUGACUCUAAAAAAGGAAACCAUGACAAUUAAAAGUGGACGGAGAAAGUAAUAAUAGUGUAUAUAUGGUAAUGAAGUAUGUCUAAUUAAUAGAAAGAAAAAAAAGAAGUAUGUCUAAUUAUAGUUUUUCCAAAAAAGUAUGCUUAGUGGUUAACUGUGUCAGCUUUUACCUUGCUGACAAGAGUUCGAUUCCUUACCUUGUAAUUCCCUCUAUCAUUUCCUUUUUCCCAACCCUGAUGUUAUUUUAACACUCGAUAUUUAUAUAUCUAUGUUAAAUUAACUAUAUUAAUAAAUAUCAAACACGAAUAAAUUAAAAUUCUUUCGAUAUAUUAUUGUAUACUUACAGCAUAACAAACAGUAAUCAACUCCAAAUCUGGCUUAAGUCUCCAAGAACUCAAAUUUUGUUCAGCAAUUAAUCCAACCACACCUGAAAUAAUUGUUACUAAGCCACAAGUAACAGUAGUCACCACAAAUUCUUCUGGAUAAUCAUUUAUAGUCCAUGCCUGAUCAUACGAUAAAUAAUAUAAUUUCAGCGCGAAUACUUUUAUUAACUUAAUUAUAUUUUCAACGAAUACUAUAUAUAUACCUGGACUAUGUACAAGAUUGCAAGUAGCAAAUUAGCAGUAGCAAGGAGAAAUCCUCCAAGGAUCCAAUUUGAUUUUGUACUGAUGUGAAGUUGAUGAAAAUUAUUGGAGGGUGUAAUUGAUUGAUUUGAAAAUAUUGGAGGGCCUCUAUAAAAAGUCAUAAGCAGUGCCCCAAGUAUUAAUAUUGUUGUCCCAAUAAACUUUGCCAGACUGCUUUUCAACCUUAAUCCCAACUUUUCCAUCCUGUCAUAAAGUCAAAGCAAUAUUUGACAAAUAUAUCGUCAUAAAAGAAUAUAUACAAAAAGAAUACGUUAGAGAAUUUUCCUUUUUAAUUACUUGCAUUGACAAAUAUAUAUAUAUAUAUAUAUAUAUAUUGUUCAAACAUGAAAAUAACUUGAUUUUAGGGUAACUUACCGAAAUUUUAUUAGUUGAUGAGCUAAUUAUUUAGAUAUACGUUAAUUUGCAAUAUUACGAAUUUUAUCAAUUUUUUGUGUGUACAGAUAUGUUCAGAUACAUAUAUCUCAAUCAAGAUACACGAGUCAAAAUUAUGUGUAACUUGUUCUAGAUACACUAUAUCUAAGUGGAUUUGCAUGUAUCUAUGUUACAUAGACAAAUCUCACUCAUCUCUCUUGCCUCCCUCCCAUCUCGCUAACCACUCUCUUAUCCUGCUCACAUAAUUGGUAUUUCAGAUACAUGUGAAUCACACUAGAUACAUAUGUUUGGUGUCCUAGAUACAUGUAUCUGGAUACAUAGACAAAUUUUGCUCGCCUACCUCCUGUUUAAUUUUUGCUAGUCUCUAUCCCUAUUUCAGUGUAUAUGGUAGCAAAAAAUAUGUAUCUAUCUAGCUUGAAAUCUCGUAUGAAUUGAAAAAGAAAAUCAAAUUAAUAAAAUUAUGCUAAUAAUAUGUGUAACUUACCCUGCAAUUACAGCAAUUAGGAAAGUAAAAGCUGGAACAACAUCUGUCAUUGCUGAGGCCAAAAUUGGAUUGCUAUACCCUAUCCCAAAGCACAACAAUAUUUGUACAGAGCAGCUUUUUAUUUGUGUCACAAAAAAGAAAAAUAAAAACAAUAUUAAAGCCAUAAUUAAAGUCAUAAUAACCAACAACAACAUGAACAAAAGAAAUUUAAAAAAAAAUAAUCAAUUUCAUGAUCAAGUACCUGAGGAAGGCAAGAAGAAUCAUCCUAGAGAAUAUAGAAAAAUUGAGCUUUCUGCAAGGCCUCAUUCUGUUGGACAAAAAUGGCAUUAGAAUAAAGAAAUCAAAAUAAAUUCAGAAGCGAAGUCAGAAUUUUAAAUUUAUAUUGAUUUUCUGGAUUCUAAUCUUGUUUAAGUAAUUGAAUUCUAAAAGAACAUAUCAAUGAAUUAAGACAAAUACAUCAUUUGAAUAAAAAACUACUGAAUUCGAUUAUGUAGACAUUAUUCUGAUCUUCAAAUAUUUUCAAAUUUUCAAAAAUUGAUCAGUAGAACUUCCCCUCUCGAAACUUAAAUAUUUUUUUUAAAAAAAAAAAAUGCAUGUCCAAACACAACUUGAAAUUUAAAUUUCAAAAUCAAAACUCGAUUUUUCAAAUUUCAGGUUUCAACUUCAAAAUCUAUCGCAAUCAAAUCAAAUCAUAAUAGAUUGUGGAGAAACUUAUAAUUACCUAUGAUAGAUGAAGGUAGAAGGUACAAGAAAGAACAAGGCCAAGGCAUUGGCAUAGAAAAUGAAGACAAAAUUGCUCAUUCCUCUAGUAGUAGCUGCUUUAUUGAGUGUGUUUAAACCAACUUCUAUGCAUUCUAAUAUAAUCAACAUUGUUAUUAUCACCACCCUUGAGCUCCACAUUUUUUCCUCAACUAAAAAAACUUGUACAAAAUGAUUAAUUACUUGGAAAGACACCCAAUAUAUAUAGCUUCUAAGAGAAUCAUAUUGUGUGAAUCUAACCUCCCACCUACCCCACAAUACAGGGGCAAUUUUGUCCAAAAUUUGUGUUUACAUAAUAAUAAAAUAUUUAGUGGAAUCUCACAAAUCAUAUUCAACUUUGCGCGCCUCAAGGGAAAUAUUUUGUAUGUAUAUUAAAAAUAUCUAAAUAUUUAAUUGUAACAGAAUUUUAAGAUUAGAUCAAUUUACGAAUACUUAUUAAUUUCAAAUUCUAGAUCAGAUCUGUAAUACUGAUGCUCUACCACUCAAUAGAACACACUUGUGAAAAUUUAAGUUUGAACUAUUGAGUUAUUUUUUAAAAUAAAAUAUGCACAUUGCCUAUCUCAUAUUUUUAUUUGAUGAUAUUUAAUUAGAUGAUAUGGAGUUUACGGAAGAAAAAAAAAUUGACGCAUUUUAAAAGUAAUCGUAAAAUUAUCAUAUUAAAUUAACAUGUAAGAACAUUUUAUUAAAAUAAAACUAAAAAUAUAAAGUUAAAAGAGUUUUUGAAUAUAUAUAGUAUGAUAAUUGUCGUAUGUAUGCAGUGACGGAGCCACAUGUAUUUGAGGAGUAUCAAUUGAUAUUUUUUCAUCGGAAAAUUUUGUUGAGUAUGUGUACGUAGCUAGGUAAAAAUAUUAUAUAUAUAUAUAUAUUAGCUUCUUCGUGAAUUUAUUUUAUUUUAAUUAUUUUUAGUGAAAAUUAUGACUCCGUCGAUGACCCUGUUGUUGUUCUUUCUAAAAAAAAUGGGAAUACAAAAAAGAAAUUGAAGCAGGAGAUUACAAGAUGAGAAACUGAAACUUCAUUAACAAAAAUCAAAAUUCAAAUACUUAAUCAAUUGAGUUACUAAAAUUCUCUCGUAUAUAUAUAUAUAAUUCUAUAUGACUGUAUCUGAUACCAUAUCCCACUAAAUAAAAGACCGGGAUAAAAUUCGAUAUCAUUGUUUGCCUUUUGCCCUAUCAAAAGUUAUUUAAAUCAUCCUCAUUAUUUUUUAAAAAAUAAUAUAAGCCCUUCCUAAUACCACGCACUAAACGGGAUUUAAUGUCACAUCGAAGAAUUAGUCUUUUUGUUUAUUCUAAUUAAAAAAAAAGAAAAUUGUAUAUAAUAGAAAAUUAUUAAUUCAAAUUAAAUGCUAUAAAUAUAGUUUGAUUUAAUUGUACUCCAUAGUAAACUGUUGUUAUUUCACAUCUCUCUUGGUGAAUCUCGCUCGCCACUCUCGUUCUCUCCCUCGCCUCUCCCGCUUUUUAUACAAACGCAAAUGUAUAAAAUGUGUUUGUGUUUGUAUAAAGCGAGAGAAAAUUGUAUAUAUACAUAUAUUUCCGUUCCCCUCUCUCCCCUCUCCCAGAUCUCGCUCGCCAGUCUCUCCCUCACCUCUCUCGCUUAUACAAACAGAAAUGUAUAAAUUGUGUUUCUGUUUGUAUAAAGCGAGAGAAAAUUAUAUAUACACAUGCAAAUACAUAUAUCUUCGUCCUAAACCUUUAUCAAUUAAAUCAAAAUUCAGAUACUUAAUCAAUUGAGUUACUAAAAUUCCCCGUAUAUACGGCUGUAUCUAAUAUCAUAUCCCACUAAAUAAAAAACCUGCAUAAAAUUCGAUAUCAUUGUUUGCCUUUUUCCCUUUCAAAAGUUGUUUAAAGCAUCCUCAUUAAUUUUUUAAAAUAAUUUAACCCCUUCCUAAUACCACGCACUAAUCGGGAUUUAAUGUCAUAUCGAAGAAUUAGUCGUUUGUUUAUUCUAAUUAAAAAAAAACUUUAGUAGGUUGGCUAAAUUAUUUUUUUAUGGUAUAUUGAAAUGCAUUGCAUGUGUGAGAAUAUCACUAAAAUAAAAUAUUGGCUUGUUCAGUCAAAUUAAGGUAUCGGAUAUCAAUUAUAAUAAUAUGUUCAGAACGUGUAAUUAUUUUUAUGACCUAAUCUAUUUAUAAAUAAAAAGAUAAUGGAUUAAAACCUACUUAAAUUAGUACAAUAUUAUUUUUUUAUUAAUUUCAUAUUUUAAGUGUGUGUGUGUAUAUAUAUAUAUAUAUAUAUUACUUCAUUGAAUUAUAAUUUUCAAGUUUAUUUAAAAUAUUGGCUUGUUCAGUCAAAAUUGCUCAUUCCUCUAGUAAUACCAUAUUUGAGGCAUGAAAAGUGACCAAGUCUUUUCUAACAUAUCCUCAUCAAUCAUUCGUAGAUUAUAGAUCAGUUUAGAACGCAUAUUAACCUAAUUUUAAAAUAAAUUAAAUUGGACGGAUCAAUAUGAAUUGAGUUAAUAAAAUAAGUGGAUCAUCAACCUACUCAAAUCUAAAAAAAUUGAGUGAAUCAUAAUUUUACGAACUGAUUUUAUCACCCCCUAAUUGAUGGUUAUUUUCAAAUAGAGUAGCCAUAAGAAUAAAUUUGCAAGUAUAAGAUCAUAUAAAAUUAUAAUAUACAUACAUAUAAAAGAAUUAUGUAUAUAAUACCUAACUUAUUGAAGUCCCUCACAUAUUAAAAAAACUUUUACCUAAUACUUUUUGAAUUUUCUUGUUAAAAUUUUCGAACUCCAACACUAAACAAGGGCACGAUAAUGAAAAGGAGAUUAUACUAGUUGUUGAGAGUAUACUAAGAAAUACUUUAAGUGUAAGAGUAAUUAAAAAACAUAUAAUAAAUUCUAUCACGAAUAUAGUCAAUUUUUCCGCAUCUCAACAACAUAAAAAAUUUCUAUAGAUAAAUCAAAAUACAUCACUUUUUCAGAUUUUGAAAUUUAAAUAAGUUUUUUUACUUUAUAUAUAUAUAUAUAUAAUAUCUUGAAUUAUAAAUAAUUAGAGUAAUUUAUAGUAGCACUUUUUAGAUAAUUUUCAAAUAUGUAAAAUUUUAUUUUUAAAAAAAUUAAAGAUUUCAUGCCUGAAUUGACUGUAAAAAUUAAACCAUUUGACUUUCGAAAUUCAAACAAUACCACAUAAAUUAAAAGAUAAAGAAAACAUUAAACUAUGUUAAGAAAAAUCUUUUUUUAAAAAUAGUAGCUAUAAGAAGCAUGGAUUCUUCUAUAGUAAAAUAAAAAUAGACUUAAGAGCCUGUUUGGAUUGGCUUAAAAGUUGAUCAAAAUUAUUUUUGAGUCAUUUUAGUUUUUGAGAGUGUUUGACAAAGUUAAAAAUAACUUAAAAUAAAGUUUAAAAUGACUUUAAAAAAAGUUUAAAAUAGAUAUUCUCCCACUUUUCUUUUUUUUACUUAAAAGUUACUAAAAAUUUAAUUUUUGCAAAAAUUACUUUUAAAUUAUUUUUUUAAAAAAAAUAUAAGCCAAACGGACUAUUAUCAAGUUGUGUUUUCCUUUUUAUGAAUGACAACAUCACAUAGGUAAGUAGAAUUUAAUUAACUUAAUCAUUAAUUAGAAAACUAAUUCUAACCCGUAGAUAUCGUAUCACCCACAAAAACUCAUAACCAAAUUGUUAUUUGUGGUUGUUUUUGUUUCAAAACAUCUAUAAUUCCGUUCUAAUUCUAUAUUUAUAACCAAAUCCUACCAAUAGUCUGAACAACACUCUACUAGUAAAUAAGAAUACUCAAAUUCUUAAAACUUUUCUUUCAUUUAAUUAUUUGUUAUAAUCAUUAUGGGCAAAGUCAAGAUCGGAAUCAAUGGUGAUUUUUUAUUUCAUAUUGUUAUCCAUAUUUGUUAAUUUCAAUAUUAUUAUUUUUUAAAAAAAUUGUUUUGUUUGGUAUACGUAGGUUUUGGAAGAAUUGGUAGAUUAGUGGCUAGAGUGGCAUUGCAGAGUGAUGAUAUUGAACUUGUUGCUGUCAAUGACCCCUUCAUCACCACUGAAUACAUGGUUACUCCAUUUUCCUUUUUAACUCUAUUGUUUUUAUAAUUAUCUGGUGUUCGAAAUUUACUGAUCUGACUAAUACUUUAUAUUGAUUCAUUAUUCUUCGUAUUAAUUGCAAAGUUUAGUUGUCAUGACUAGACAAUGUUCCAUAUUUAUCACCUAGAUCUAGAGUGUCGGAGGUAGACUCAAUUAAACCCCUUAUUUUCAACAUAAACCAGAGAUAUAUAUGUCUGAAAAGUAGUAUAAAAAUCAUGAAAAGUAAUAUAAAUAUCAAAUUUUGAGAUAUAUUUUAAAAUAACUUACAAAUUUGAAUCCAUGACGUUUAAAUAUUGGGUCUGCCUCUAGUGUGAUUUGUACACCCUUUCCUAGCAAUGAAUGUUCCAUAUUCUUGGAUCCGUACCCAAGAGAAUCAUGAAUUUUAUAUCACGUUUAAAGUAUUACUGUAUUUAGUUUGGAAAUGAUCUCUUAUAACCACUUACAAAUUGAAUUUUAAAAAAUGAUCUUUAUUGAUUAGUCGCGUCAAGUGUGAUAUAUAUAGUUCCUUUAUUGAUAGAUCUCAUAGUUUCAUGUGCAAGAGUUUUGUUUGCAGACUUAAACGUAUACUAUUAUAUAGCAAAUUUCAUAUUUUUCAUUCGAUAAGAGAUUGUGGAUCUAUUCUUAGUAAGGACAACUUGAUUGCGAUUAAAUGCCUGAUUUUCAAGCUGAUAUAUAUAUAUCCUGUGCUCGUUGUAAUGUACAUUUGAGUCUGAUUUGAAUUUCGCGUUUUAUAGACCUAUAUGUUCAAAUAUGAUACCGUUCAUGGCCAAUGGAAGAAACACGAGCUUAAAGUUAAGGAUGAAAAAACUCUUCUCUUUGGCGAUAAACCUGUCAAAGUAUUUGGUGCUAGGUAAAUAAAUGCAUUUCCAACAUUUGAACAUUGCAUUACAAUUGAGUUUUUCUUCUUACCUUUAUUGGUGUAACAAACAGAAACCCCGAAGAAAUUCCAUGGGGUGAGGCUGGAGCAGACUACGUCGUUGAGUCCACUGGUGUUUUCACUGAUAAAGACAAAGCUGCAGCUCACUUGAAGGUAUUCAUAGUUCACUUUCAUAUGUUAUACACUGAUAGUUUAAAAGAACUUUUUAUGCUAACGCGUAUAAUUAUGAUGUUCCAUCUAUUUUUUUUCGUUAGGGUGGUGCAAAGAGAGUUGUUAUUUCAGCCCCUAGCAAGGACGCGCCCAUGUUUGUUAUGGGUGUAAAUGAGAAGGAAUACAAAGCAGAUAUUAACAUUGUGUCUAACGCUAGUUGCACUACUAACUGUCUUGCUCCAUUGGCUAAGGUUGUUUUCUUAGUCUGUUUGGUAUCUAAUCUCGUCAUUUUAGUUGAAAUCCAACUUUGAUCGUAUUCAAUUUGAAUCAUCACAGGUUAUUAAUGACAAAUUUGGUAUCGUUGAGGGUCUUAUGACCACGGUCCAUUCUAUUACUGGUAAGCUAAGGUUCUAGUUACUGAUGUUCCUAGUUAUGUAUCUUCUGUUUUAACUUUGUUGAUCGCGAAUUUGUUCUGUAUACAUUAUAUAGCAACACAAAAGACAGUUGAUGGUCCUUCGAUGAAGGACUGGAGAGGUGGACGUGCUGCUGCUCAUAACAUCAUCCCUAGUAGUACCGGAGCUGCCAAGGUAGUACUAACCAUGUUAUACCCAAAUCUAUUUUUGUAUUUUUCAUAUGGUCUGUAGACUGUAAGGCAAUCUAAGCUUCAAAAGGCGUAGCAUAAUGUACUCUGUUUUCCAGAGGAAAUUGUGUAGUUACUAUACUUUUUACAUUUGAUAAUGCAGGCUGUUGGCAAAGUUCUACCAGCAUUGAAUGGGAAGUUAACUGGUAUGGCUUUUCGUGUUCCAACUGUUGAUGUUUCAGUGGUUGAUCUAACCGCGAGAAUUCAGAAAUCAGCUACCUAUGAUGAGAUCAAAGCAGCUCUCAAGUACAAAUACUUUUGAGAUUUCGCUUAUUGAAGAAAUUAUAAGUUAGAUUUACUUUUUGUGAACAGUUUUUAUCUUUGUACAGGGCUGAGUCUGAGGGAAACAUGAAGGGAAUUCUUGGCUACACCGAAGAUGAUGUAGUUUCAUCUGAUUUCAUCGGUGAUUGCAGGUGAGAAUUGUGCUUGACAUCUAAUAGAUCUAGGCUAGACACAACGGGUUCAAUUGAAUUCACCGUGUCUAGCUCUAGCUAGGAUAAAGAGCAGAACUCAUCACUGACUCUAAAUUCUAGAUUCGUCACUGUUUAACAUUUUGACAUGUUGCUUGUGUUAGGUCAAGCAUCUUUGAUGCCAAGGCUGGUAUUGCUCUCAAUGGGAACUUUGUUAAGGUUGUCUCGUGGUAUGACAACGAAUGGGGAUACAGGUAAAGGUUUUAUCGGAUUUUUUACCUAUUAUUGGAGUAGAAAAUAUUUGUUUGUGAUCAAAGAUGGAUAUUACUUUCUGCUCGAACUAUCUACACAUGAAACACAAAUCUAAAAUGUAUAUAAGAUUACUCAUUUUGAAUACUGACUCUAGCUUUUGAAUUCGCCUCUGUUUCAGCUACUAGCAUUAGAAUAUCGCUCUAACAACAUAAUAUACAUUUUUUGUUGUUGCAGUAACCGUGUUAUCGACUUGAUUCGUCACAUGUCAACUGUUGUAUAAACAGUUAAUAUUUCUAUGAAUGGUUAGAGUUCAGCAAAGAAGCAUUGAAGAAGAUAUGGAAUAAUAGAGAAGUAGAGAUCAGUGCAUUAUUUCCCUUUUGUUAUUUUUGAAGUUUUAUUAGAAAGCUUCUGAGAAUUUUCCAUGAGGAUUUUUUUUUUAAUAUUAUAGUUCAGUAGGAACAAUUAAUAAGACGAAAUGAGUGAAUUCUGCUCAUAUAUUUUUUUGUUAGAAAGGUGCAAUUUUGGUACGCUAAGAUAUAUUCUUUUGUGUAAAUCGAAUUUUGAAUUGACUAUUUCUCAUUUUCAUCUUCAUUACGAGCACUCUGUCCAACACAUCUAACCAACUCGCAUUGUUCACCGGCUCAGCCGAAUGGGAACUUUGUUAAGUUUUUUCAUAUAACAUUAUACAAAAUUUGAUACAUCUUUUUCAAUGUGGGCUCAUCACCAGAUACAGUUUGCAUAUCUUCAUACAAAAUGAUACAACUUUUAUACAAUUCUCAUAUUACAUUGUACAACUUUUAUACAACUCUGUUGUAAAUUGAUACAUCUUCAAACGGGUAAACACGUAUAGUUUGUUUGUCAUACUUUAUUCAAUUUUCAUAUACUUACAUAUAAUUAUGCAAGUUGUAUGCAUUUCAUAUGUCAUGUGUUCUGCUUUUUCUUCGAGUUUCAAUUAAUCUGAAAUUCUAGCGUUAGCUAAUUUUGAUAUACGUUUCAUACUAAAUCGAUAUGAAUUUGAUACGUCUUGUAACAUUUGGUUGAUUGGCAGAUGCAGUUUGCAUGUCUUCAUACAAACAUAAUACAAUUUUUAUAUAUUUUAUCAUAUAAUUUACAUACAAUUGUGUAAGUUAUAUGUAUUUUGUAUAUACAAAUUAUAUACAAUGAAUAGAUUCUAAUUUCUCAUUUCCAAAAAUUACAGUUUGUUCAUUUUCUUUUCAUAUGUCAUUCCGAUACCACAUAAUAUUCUUCUAUUUACCAUAUCUAUAAAUGUUUUUGCUAGGUGGUUCUGAGUAAUGAGAAAGUAUUAAAAUCAUGGUGAAGCUUAUUCUGAUUUUCUUUUUGAAAAAAUAAAUAAAUGAAAAGGACAUUAAGCAAUAAGAGACCUGGUUUUAUUCAUAACUCAAUAAUAAUAACCAUUAGUAUUCAAAGAUAUGAUCGAAAAAUAAGGAGUAACUACGUAAUUAGUGUGAUACACUCUAGAUAUAUGUAUCUGCUGUGAUUCACAUAUAUCUGAGAUACUAGAUACAUAGGAUAGUGGUGAGCCAGAUGGGAGGGAGGCGACCAAGAUUUAUUAUGUAUCCUAAAUACAUGUGAAUCCACUUUGAUAUAAUGUCUCUAGAACAAAUUACACUUAAUUUUGACCUCAUGUCCCGAGAAACAUAUAUCUAGACGUAGUUACACGUAUCUGGAUGCACCAAAAUCUAAUAAAAUAUAUAAUAUUACAAUCUAAAGUCUAUCUAAAUAAUUAGCUCCUAAACUAAUAAGAUAUAUAUAAGUUUCCUAAAAUAAAAUAUAAUUAAAAUAGCCAAACUCAAAAAUAGGAACCAAAUUUAAUGGGCCAAUUUUAAGAGGUAUAGUUUCAUUUCAAGUGGUCUAAAUUUUGGAAUAACUAGGCACUACCACCAAGUACCAACUAAUUACGAUUCUUUUAACACAUAUCACCUAAUCAUGAUAAAAACUUAUUUAUACUCGAUGUUACAUUAUCAUGAUAAAUACAUGACAUUUGUUUUUUAUCUACACAUUAGUCACUUACUCAUAGUUAAAUAAUUUACAUUCUUAUUUAGUAUUUAUUUUUAAUCGCUAAGGUUAAAUUGUAUAACUAGAUGCAUAUAAAUGCUCGGUACAGAUAAAUAUUUAUUCUUCACCAUGUGAUUAUAAGGUACUUAUGAUCUUAUAUUUAUUAAAUCUUAUAAAUAUCGGAUACGACUUGUUUGGUUGGUUUGUUAGUUUUCAAUUUCAAAAUCGUAAUAUAUUUAUUAACCAAAAUAAAAAACAUUCUGCGUAACUGAAAAGUCGGUAUUCCUUAUUUAAAAAGAAAUUUACUUUAUAAUUUUGAAUGUGAAAAGGUAAAAGUACCUUUGAAGAUCCACCAGAAAUAAUUACAUGGUUAAGUUAAGAAGAAAAAAAUAGGGACAUGUAAAACUCCACCAACUUGCUACUCCAUUCUUACGUAAAAAGUAUUUUUCCCUUCCCAUAUUUAUUAUUUAUAUAUAUGCUUUAAAAAAAAUAUUACUAAGUUAGUUCAACUUUUCUUCUUUAGGACUAACAAAAGAAAUUUUUUGUAAAUAAUUGUUAUCUCUAUUUAUCUACACCAAAAAUAAUAAUAGUAAUAAUGUAUUCAGUGUAGUCUCUAACAAAGUGAGGUCUAGGGAUGAUGACAGAGUCAAGAUUUUCAAUAAGGGAGUUCGAAAUAUAAAAAGUAAGCAGACGCAGAGGUCAAAGGGAGUCCAAUAUCUACUAUAUAUACGUAAGAUUUAUUUAAGCAUACAUAAAUAGUGUAAUUUUCCGCUGAAGAGGAUCUUGAUGAACUCCCUUGGCCGUUAGCUCCACCCCUGUAUAGGGAUGAUUAUAGAGUGUUCACACAUAUAUCUUAUCUCUACCAUAAAAGAUAAAAAGAUUGUUUUCGAUAAAUAGAUCGAUUAUAAUAGUUGGGGUAGGAGGGGGGGGGGGGGGGUANNNNNNNNNNNNNNNNNNNNNNNNNNNNNNNNNNNNNNNNNNNNNNNNNNNNNNNNNNNNNNNNNNNNNNNNNNNNNNNNNNNNNNNNNNNNNNNNNNNNNNNNNNNNNNNNNNNNNNNNNNNNNNNNNNNNNNNAAAAAUGGGGGGAGGGGGGGGGGGGGGGGGAUACAUGAGAGAAGAUCCACCACCCUUUUUGGAGGGGUCCUUGUUAAGCAUAUAAGCAAAAGGAGAGACAGAGAGAGACUAGUCGAAGUCAUCCAUUGGCUUCAUUUUCCUUCGUAGGAGCAACGUAUUACCCCUUAGUACUAAUCAACUUCUCCCCCUUCUUAACUUUUUCUUAGAGUUAUUGUUUGGGACGGUUUUAAAUAUAUACGAUAAAGCAAUUAGUUUAUGAUAACUAUAGUUAUGUUUUUAUUUAUAUAAAAAAUAGUCAAAAGUCAUAGAAAGUAUACAGUGAGUAUACAUUAUGAUAUACUCAAAAAAUUGAAUAUAGCUUAUCUAUACGUGAUUUAUAUACACUGACUAUACAUUAUGAUAUACUCAAAAAAUUGAAUAUAGCUUACAUAUUUAUUAGCUAUAAACCGACUAAUUGGCUAUACAUUAUGAUACACUCAAAAAGUUGAAUAUAACUUAAUUAUAUAUGAAACCCGUAUUUUUAAGUGACCUAGAACACUUUCCGAUCCUAAUAGGAAUGCACCAGGAUCCUCUCUUAGCCAAUUUUUAUUUGCAUUAGUAAUGGACAUACUAAUGUGACACAUUUAAUGGGCUAUGCCAUAGUGAAUGUUAUUUACAUAUGAUAUGGUACUAAUUGACGAGAUGCUAGGAAAAGUUAAUGUGAGGUUGGAAGUUUGGAGACGGCUCUUGGAGUCAAAAGAGUUCAAGUUGAGUAGCAUCGAAUUUGAAUAUUUGGAGUGUAAAGUUCAAUACUGAUUUGUCUCACAUAGACAUUGGUAUUGAUACACAUGUCAUCCUCAAGAGAUGAAUUUUCAAGUACCAUUACAAGAAAACUGUGAAUUAUAUAGGGAUUUUUCUGGAAAUUAAUAUGAAAAUUUGCAGGAAAAUAAGUUUCCUGCGAAUUUUCAUACUAAUCCCCAGAAAAAUCCCCAUGUAAUUCACAGUUUUUUUGUAGUGACCUAGACCAAUAAUUCAAGGUAAUGGGAACAUUGAUGAAAAUGUCACUCAUCGUAUUGAGUGUGAAGGAUAAAAUUAAUGCUCACAUCCGAUGUUCUUUGUGAUAAGGAUGUGCCACCUAUACUGAAAGGUAAGUUUUACAAAGUAAUUAUUAGACCGAUUAUGUUAUAUCGAGAGAAGUAUUGUUAGUUAGUGAAUUAUAAAUUCUCAUGUCUAGAAGAUGAGAGUGACAAAGAUAGAGAUAUUGAAGUGAAUGUGUGGGCUUUUCAGAAGUGAUAAGAUUAAGAAUAAAGUCAUCCAGGAUACAGUAGGAGUGGCCCCCCUUGGAGGAAAAGAUGUGAAACGUGUGACUGGGAUGGUUUAGCCAUGUGAAGAAGAGAUGUGUGAUACCAGUUAGUUGGUGUGAAAAGUUGGUCGUAGAGGGCUAAAGAUGGAUAGAGGUAAACCUAAGAAGUAUUGAGGGUGAGGUGAUUAGUCUGGAUAUGACAUAUCUUCAAGUCACCGAGGACAUGACCCUUGAUAAGAUGUUGUGGAAGUCGAGCAUUAGAAUAGAAGGUUAGUAAGAAGUCGUGAGUAUUUCUAUUCUUAGAGUACUAGUAAACUUCUUUUUUGCUGAGCUUUAGGUUUUUAUUACUACAUGUUGUUUCUUUAGUCUAUUUAUCUUAUUUACUUGAUGUUGUUCUACGUACUGUUCAGUCGAGGGUCUAUAAAAAAUAACUUCUAUGUCUUUUCAAGGUAAUGUUAAAAUAUGCAUACAGUCUAUCAUCCGCAAAUCGCACAUAAAAUUAUACUAGAUUUGUUGUUGUUUUUGUACUCCUAAGUAUUCAAUUUGUCUUAAAUUUAACCAUGUUUAACUUUACGGUCCACGAAAAGCCAUGAGUGUCGUUAAUUUCAUCUCAUAUUUGCUCUUUUCUUUAAUGAUGAUUGUGCAACUUAAUUCUGACAUUUACCAACGUGCAAUAACUUGAAGUAUGCCCUAAACAAUUAAAAAUGUCCAAAUGCAAAGUUAAGUAAUAUAUUUAGACUUUUUCCAUCAAUAAAAUAAUGUGAAAAUAAGAAAGAAAAGGAAAACUCCGGGAAAGAGAAAAAAGAAUUGUGGAGAAUAGCAAACAUUUAAAUCAUAUUAAAUAUUAUAGCUAUUGUUUAGGGGAAUUCUAAUUCGCAGCUAUAGUUUUGCUCAAUUUUACUAUUUGCCUGAUUUGUAUAAUUUGUUUGAUUUGUAUAAAUUCAGAAUUUGUAUAAUUCGUUUUCUGAUUAGUAUAAAUCUAGAAUUUUGUAUAUGCUUAUCCGAACUAUUUGUAUACGAUUUAUGAAAAAUUCAUAAGCAAUUACCCUCUUUGUAUAUUGGUAAGAGAAAUAUACAAAUGCAGUUCUAAAAAUUUCUUAAAUGUAUAAAUAUUUAAUUUGUAUAUACUUACCCUAUUUGUAUAUUCGCAAACGAAAUAUAUAAAUGAGCAGAAAUAUACAACUACAACCUCCAUAGCAAAUGAAACUAUAGCUAUGAAGCACAACUAUCGAAACUAUAGUUAUAGAACCUUAUUAUAUCUAUUAUGUUUGUUAUUUCUGAAAUUUUCUAAAAAGAAAAACGGAAAAAAGAGCUAUAGAGAAAAAGAAAAAGGAACAAAAAGGACCUCAAAAGCUUUUCAAUAACCUAUUUAUUAUAAAACAAGAUUUCGUUCCACUUUAACAUACAGUACAAUUAUGUACAAUGUGUACUAGCUACACCUAUUUUACCUUGUAAUAGUGUUUUAAAAGAUAAUUUUGGGACUCGCCUCGACUGUGCCAAUUGCUAGCGCAUUCAGGGCCCCGCACCCAGCUCAGCUGGAGAGGUCAAGUCUGAUCUGAGAAGUUCUAAUUCGGUUCGGAUAAACUUCAUUCAAGAAUGGGCCACUAGUAAAAUGCCUUGAGGCUCACAUGUGAAGUUUAGUUCUAUGAAGUUUGAUUGUAUGUUCUAAACAAGUCUAACGUCCAAUAUUUGAGGCUCAUAUCUAAUAGUUAUUUAUAAAUUAUGUAUUAAAAUUUUGAGUAACAUUGUUGACCCUUGAUCAUAAUUCUUUAAUCAAUCAAUAAUGCUUAUUAAUAGUUUUUUUAAUCUAUAGAAAUAAAAAGAUUGAAAGUAACAAAAAUAAAGAAUUUGUAAUAUUGCAUAUUUACUAUAUGAAAUUAAUAAUGUAAGGGUGAAUAUCAUUUAAUAUUUUUUUUAAAAAUGCAUAGUACAAAUUUUACAUCUUCCUGACUUGUUAUUGAUCUUCAUAUUUUUAUCAUAUGUCUCAAACUUACCAUAUUUUAUUAUUUCGCUAAUUGAAAAUAACUUUAUUUUUAUUCAUGAAAGAGUGAUGUUUUGCUUAUUAUACAAUACCAAUAAAGUUUAUUGAUUAUUUUCCUUUUAGGAUGGUAAAUUGGGUAGUAUGAUAUGCAUCUUCUAAUAACUUUUAUAUCAUAGCAUUAUUUAUACUCAUAAAAUAUACCUUAUAAGUUUUAUUUUUUUAAUGAAUUUCUCUUAUCGUGUUUUUAAAUUUUUCUUAAAAUUAUAAUGAUGUAUCUUUUUUUUAAAAAAAGAAGAAGAUAUUUUUGAUGUUAUCACACUACUUUACUAUAUCAUAACUUAUUAAUUAAAAUAUUUAUGGUGCUUACGUCUCAUGCCUCUAGCUAGCUAGCUUAUGCAUUGUCUUGUACCAAGUAAAAUGUUCCGUCUCAUAUUUCCGCCUUUUAAAACGCUAGUUCUGAUUUCUGAAGUUAGUCAGAAGGCUAACUUUGGACAAUAAUAGUUGUAAAUAACUAGCCUAAUUAUUAUUUUUUCCACUUUCCUAUUUGACAUCACGUAGAUUUUCUAUGUAUAUAGGAGCAUUUUAGUUUUCGUUUUAAUAUUAAUUGGUACUUGUUGCUUAUUGUACAAUCAUCGAUCUAAGGGUGUGUGUAAAAACCGAAUCGACCGAUAAAUCAAAUCGAAAAAAGUGUUAUUGGUUUAUUGUUAUUGGGUUAUUGGGUUAACGGUUAUUUAAUGGUUUUACAAAAAAAAUUAUUGGAUUAUCGGUUCGUUAUUGGUUUUUUAAUAUUGGGUUAUUGGGUUAACCGAUAACCCAUUAAGAAUAUAAUAAUUUACUAUUUUAAUUUUUAGUUAUACAUAUAUAUAAUAUAUUAAAUAAAAAAUAUUCAUAUAAUUAGUAGUAUAUUAGACUAAAAAUAUAAAAAUCCUACGCAAUAAUUAACUCUCCUCUCUACUUUUAGUUAUUUAACCUUUAGGUUUUACUUUUUAGUAUUAAUUAUUUACUUUAGUUAGUUUAUAAUUGACUAAUAUUAGCUUUUUGCACGAUUGUAAAUAUCUGCAAUUUGAUUAACGUUAGGAAUUCAGAUUGUGUUUUUUUUUAAAAAAAAAUAACGUAAGAACUUCAUUUAGUUGGGUCUUUUCUUUAUAUAUGAUUUACCAUAAGCAUGGCCUCAUUUGCUACUUUUUUUACUUUUGUCUAUGAUUUGGUUUUAUUUGAUUCUCUUUAUUGCAUAAAGGGGACCUCGUUUUAUAUAUUAUUGUGAUAAAAAAUUGAUCAAGACUUUGUUGUGAUGAUCAAAAUACAACAAGUUGGUCCUUGUUGUCCCGUUUGGGAUGAUUAUUUUGAUGUAUGCAUAUCGCGUCAAAUUAUUGGAUAAGUUAUAUAUUUGUUUUGAAAGCAUUUUCUUAUUGGUUAAACCAAAAGCCGAACCGUUAAAGACCUAAAACCAAUAAACCAAAAACCGAUAACAAAUAUCUUAUUGAUUUGGUUAUCGGUUUAGCAUAAUUAAAAAUCGAAAACCAAUAAACCGAACCGAUAAUACUUAAAACUGAACUGAACCGACCGAUACACAUGUACACCCCUAGAUCCAUUUCCUUUUUAAUGUUAGUCCCUAUUUUAUACUCGAGUCUUGGCCCAUAUCUAUUGCCUAUUCAAAGCAUUUCGUUCAUGAAUCAAGACAUACCAGGGUGUACAAAAUCAAAUCGAAAAUUGAACCAAAUUGCAAAUCGAGUCAAAUAAAAAAAAAUCGAGUAGUGGUUUGGUAUUGGAAAAAAAAAAAUCCGACUAUAUUUGGGUUGGUUUGGUUUUAACUAAAAAAACCAACCCGAGACCAAACCAACCCGAUAUUAUAUAUAUAAUUUUAAAAUUUUAUUUUAUACAUAAAAAUAAUUACUUUGAUAUAAUUUUUCAAUAUUUCUUAGACUUUUUCAUAGUUUUUAUCUUUUAAUAUAUUAUUUCAAGUUUGAAACUUAGAAUUCUAAAUGGUUCAAUAAAGAUUAUAAUCCAGAGAUGUUUGUAACUAUAAUAAACCUUAAAUCAAAAUCAAAUUAAUACUAAUUCAAAAAGAAAAUCAAUUCAACACUAAGAAUGACAAUAAUAUUGAAUAUUUGUUCUUUAGUUUUACAUUGGUUUAGACAAUUAAAAUACAUAAUCUGAUUUUAAUUUCCUUUAAUAUUUAGUCAUGUAACUAAUACUUAUUAAACUUAUUUUAGCAUGACUUAGUACUUUUAAAUUAUGAUCAUUUUCAUUAUGACUUGUUAAUUAGCAAUAUUUGUUUUACGCGAUUUCAUUAUUAUUUGUUUUUGUUGAAUAUUUUAGUUGUUAAUCAUAUCAUAUUUUGUGUUAUUUUCUUAAGAAACACCUUAGAUAGUUGUAUUUUGGUCAGGGGCGGAUCUAUUAAGACCCGUGGGGGUGCCACGCCACCCCCGAGUUUCGACGGAAACUCUGUUUAUACAUAGGUAUUUAUAUACACUAUAUGUAUAAAUAAUAAACGCGCCACCCAGUAAACAAAAGUGAUCUCUGGUGCCAGUGGUAGGAAAUCAGAUUUUUGUGUCUAAGUUCGCGGGAUCGAACCCCACUAACAGCAUUUUGUUUUAUUUUUUUCAACUGUAGACAACCUUUUUUGUUUUUUUUUAAAAAAACUACAGGCAGCGUUUCUUUUUCUUUUUUCUUAACUACAAGGCACAUCCUCUUUUGUUUUUUUGAUUUUUUUUUUUUUACUUGUUAACUUAUUGUUAUUAAGUAUUAAUCAAAAAUUACUUUUUAACUAAUUUAAUUUAACUUUUGACUUUCUUUAUUUGAUUAAACAUAAAGAAACGUUUUUUUCUCUCUUCACCAUUGAAACUCUAGUUGUUCCUUUAAAUUUUUCAACAACAAAAAUUUAUCAUUAAUCAAAGCUUCAACCUUCAGCCUUCAGUCCGUCGCCGAAUUCCGCUCACCUAUCUGUCCAUAAGACAAAUAAUUCUAUCUGAAUCUAAAGUUGAUUUAAUCUGAGUCUAUUGGGCAUUAGAGGCGAACCCAAAAUUUGAAGAUUUCAGUGCAUCAAUACUAUCUUAAUUUAGGUAGUUAGCGAAACUUUUACUACAAUUAACGAAUAAUCUAGUAUUUGCUUGGUCACUAAUGGCUCAAAUAUGAGCUCUAAGCUUUAUACAGCAAUUUCGGUCAAAGUUUGGAUAUAUUUCAGACAUUUUUCCCUUUUUUGUUGUUGGAUAUUUUAGAGUAAUUAAUCAUAUCAUAUUUUAUGUUAUUUUCUUAAGAAACACCUUAUAUAGUUGUAUUUUGGUAGGACUAAAGAAAUAUUUGAAGUACAAGUAAAUUAUAUGUUUGUAUGAAUACUUCACUAGAAAAAUCCGAAAAAACCCGAAAAUUCGAAAAACCCAAAAAAAAUCCGAAUAAAUCCGAGGUUGAAAAAUCCGAGUUUUAUUGAGUUGGUUUGAUUUAUAAAUUUAAAAAUCCGACACAAAUGGUUUGGUUUGAUAUUUGAAAAACCUGAACCAGUCUGGCUAUGUACACCCCUACAUGCCAUUAUGAACCACAAUUAGGGUUGAUAUAAAAUAUCAAAAAUUGAAUCAAAUUUUUGUGUUAUUUGAUAUUUGGUAAUUGAGUAUUCAGUAUGGUAUUCGGGAGUUAAAUUUUAGAAAUAUGGUAUUUGAGUUUGAGUUUGAGUUUGGGUUUGGGUUUGGUAUGAGACAUUAGUACCAUUUGGUAUUUCUCGAAUACCGAAUUAUUUACUUAAUGAAGGUCAUAUAUCAACAUGUUUGUUAAUUAUUAGUACAAGUCUAAAGAGAAAGUUAAUGAAUAAAAAUAAACCAUCCAAAUACAUUUCUUUUAGUUGUAUCAAUUUAUUUUUUUGUGAUGUCUUCGAUCUUACUUAUUGAUCUUCUAUUAUAUUGUGUCCCCACAUAAAAAAUAGAAAUGAUUGGAGAAAUAGUAUUAACUUUGUAAUACAAUCGGCUACAACUUCAAUACGAUAUUACCGAAUACCAUACCAAAUCGAAAUUUAAUUUACCGAUUACCGAAUUACCGAACCGAAAUUUAAAAUUUUAGUAUUUGGUAUCAAUUUUUAACUACGAAUGACCGAAUUACCAAAUUCGAAAUUUAAUAAUCCCAAACCGAAUACCAAACGUCCAUCCCUAACCACAAUACUCUAGAUUUCUGAACUAUUCAAAUUUAUCUCUCGAUUUAUUUUUAAAUUUAAAAUAUCUUUAUCAUUAAUAUCUUAGGCUCAAAAAUACGUUUUCUUCUAACGGUUGUUUCAAAAUAAGGGAAAAUGGACCAAUUUUACCUGAACUAUAUGAAAUGUGAUAAUUUUUCCAUCUAUUGAAAACUCACGACAAGUGCUCUAAAUAUUAAAGAGUUGAGUCAAAAUUUAUUUAGGAGAUUUUGAACCAUUCUAAAUGACAAUUUUUAUACAAUGUCAAUUUUUUGAAUAUAAAUUUUAAUUAUAAAUAUUAAUUGUUCAACUAAACAUUUAUUCAGUUGUUUUUUUUUAAACUAUUCUAUUAGCACUCGACUAAUAUUGAUUUUUUUUUAAUCACAUCACUCUUAACGUUAGUAAGAAAAAGGACAUGAUAUCAUGUUCAAUAUAAUAACUCAUUCUUACUGUACUCGAAACUAGAUUUAACGUAUGUAUGUCAUGUAGUUUUUUUUUUUAAUCUUUAUCAUCCCUCGGCCUCUUUCACACCUCAUUUCGAAUAGUGCAUGUAGGGGUGUACAUGGCCGGGUUGAUUCGGGUUUUUCAAAUAUCAAACCAAACCAUUUGUGUNNNNNNNNNNNNNNNNNNNNNNNNNNNNNNNNNNNNNNNNNNNNNNNNNNNNNNNNNNNNNNNNNNNNNNNNNNNNNNNNNNNNNNNNNNNNNNNNNNNNNNNNNNNNNNNNNNNNNNNNNNNNNNNNNNNNNNNNNNNNNNNNNNNNNNNNNNNNNNNNNNNNNNNNNNNNNNNNNNNNNNNNNNNNNNNNNNNNNNNNNNNNNNNNNNNNNNNNNNNNNNNNNNNNNNNNNNNNNNNNNNNNNNNNNNNNNNNNNNNNNNNNNNNNNNNNNNNNNNNNNNNNNNNNNNNNNNNNNNNNNNNNNNNNNNNNNNNNNNNNNNNNNNNNNNNNNNNNNNNNNNNNNNNNNNNNNNNNNNNNNNNNNNNNNNNNNNNNNNNNNNNNNNNNNNNNNNNNNNNNNNNNNNNNNNNNNNNNNNNNNNNNNNNNNNNNNNNNNNNNNNNNNNNNNNNNNNNNNNNNNNNNNNNNNNNNNNNNNNNNNNNNNNNNNNNNNNUCCGAAUUCUAAGUUUUAAACUUGAAAUAAUAUAUUAAAAGAUAAAAAUUAUGGAAAAGUAUAAGAAAUAUUUAAAAAUUAUAUCAAAGUAAAUAUUUUUAUGUAUAAAAUAAAAUUUUAAAAUUAUAUAUAUAAAUUCGGGUUGGUUUGGUCUCGGGUUGGUUUUUUUUAGUUAAAAUCAAACCAACCCAAAUAUAGUCGGAUUUUUUUCUUUCAAAACCAAACCAAGUCAAACCAAACCACUAGUCUGGUUUUUUUCCGGGUUGACUCGAUUUGCGGUUUGAUUCAGUUUUCGGUUCGAUUUUAUACACCCCUAAGUGCAAGGACAAAAUUUGCACCUUUUUUCCCUUGUUUUGGAACAAUUCUUAGAAGGAAGGGUAUUUCUGGUUUCAUUUGGAUAGUUAAAGGAUAUUCUUGAGUCAAAAAUGGUAUCUGUGAAUGUAUUUCCCUAAAACAAGGAUAAAUUCGACCAUAGUUUCAAUACUUCAUUGGUAUUUUUUGCUUUUUUAUUUUAUUUAUAUAUCGAUAUGUAAAAGUAUACUCCCUCAAUUUUCAUUUAAUUGUUCGAUUUUGACUUGUACGAAAUUAAGAAAUGUAUCUGUUUUUUCUUUUAAUUUUAAUGGGUAAAGUUACAUAGUAUUUGAUGCUAGUACGUAGGAGAUGAUGACUAUUUCCUAAAAUUAGUUGAGGUGCAUAUAAACUGACUUAAUCCGAAAAAAGAAAAAGUUAGAAACAAACAAUAAAUCCGAAUUUAAUAUAUUUAAAGGUUAGUCAUACACAUGUUCCACGCCAACAAAGCUAAUUUUCGAUAUGUGCAUGCAUUUGGAAUUAUCUUUUUACAUAUUGUCGAAUAAAAGUAGCUUUGUUUGAUGAACAUGGUUAUCCAAAUUGUGAUAUAUAACUAACAAUGUUUGAACGGACUCAAGGUCUAAAGAAAUGUUAGGAGUGGAAAUAAAUGGGCCACUACAAAUGGAUCACUUUUGAAUAUAUGGCCUAACUCUAACCACCACACAUUAAUUAUCUUUCGAGACGAACAACAUAAAUUUCACUAGUUUAGGAGCAUAUUACUUUCCUUUACAUAAGUUUUCAAUAUCAUGAAUAUUAUCAUAUUUUGGACUUCAGAUACAUGUAUUUGGCGCAUCCAUAUACAUGUAUCUUGGCUACACGAGGUCAAAAUUAAGUGUAAUUUGUUCUAGAUACAUUAUAUCCAAGUGGAUUCGCAUGUAUCUAACUCUCUCGCUCGCCUCUCUCCUAUCUCAUUCGCCACUCUAUUUAUGUAUUUGUAUUUUAGAAUCUAUUUGAUAUUGCAGAUACAUGUAUCUAAUAUGAUUCGUAUGUAUCUCAGAUACAUAGACUAUCUCGCUCGCCUCUCUCCUUUUCUCAUUUUUAUCUCCCCCUAUUUUCUCGUCUCCCUCCUAUCUCGCUGGCAUCUCUCCCUAUUUUACUGUAUUUGAUAGCAAAAAUACAUGUAUCUAGGUGUUUUUUACUUGAAAUCUGAUAUGAAAUUAUUAAUGAGUAAUAUAAUAUAUAAUUAUUUCAAAUUAUAGCACUAGAACAAAAACAACUUUUAGCGGCAAUAAAUACACACAUUAAUAAGGAGUGCUAAAGUCUUUACCGGCAUUAGUUAAGUGUCAUUAGAUCCAAUGUUGUUAAAGGCUUUAGGGACAUAUACAAAGAGUGCUAAUUGCCGCUAAAAAUACAUAUUUAGCAGCAAUUGGGCUAUGCCCGUUAAUCAAUUGCCGCUAAAGAUCAUUUUUAAUGUAGUGUAGACAGAAUUAGUAAAUAUGGUAAGAAAGUUUGUCUAAUUAAGUAGCUAGGCUAAUAUGUUUUUCUAGCUAUAUGAGCUAUUUAGAAGUUUAUUUUUCUUCAAAUAAUUUAGAAGGGGAAAAGGUCCAAAUUUUCCUAGAAAAAUCAGUGGAAAUCAAAAUGCACCAUACAAAUUGAUGAACUUAUAUAGUCCCGCUUCCCAUGUGCAUUCCCUUCUGUAAAGAGUUUAUAUAGAUAAAUAAAGUACAUUAAUUAAUUGGCAAUGAAAAGACAUUGUAUUUUGGGACAAUAUAUAUUAAGUAACACUUACAAUAUUAUGGGAAACUCUAGACAUUUCAUGGUUGGUAGUUGGGGGAAAAUAUAUAUACAAGAACAUUGUGACAUUAGUGUAUUUCUAUGGUCUUUUCAGACAUCAUUCAAAUGCCACCUUUGUCCCUCAUUCUUUAAUAAAAAUAAAAUAAUCAUAUCAAAGUUGAUUAGAUAUAUGAAAUUUAUAUAAACAAGGGAACUUAGCUAAUAACUAAGCAAAGAACAUAAUAGAGCAAUUUAUCAUUAAACUUAAGUGAUUAUUUCUUCUACUCAAACUUUCCAUCAACAAAAAAAAAACAACUAUUGUGAGUUGUGCUUACUAUUGAGUUCGAAUCGAUUAUAAAAAAUUGUGUUGUAGGUAGGAUUGUUCAUGGUUAUGGUUAUAAAACCAAAUCGAACCGCAAUUCGAACCAAACCGAUUAAAAAAACUGAUAUUUGGUUAGGUUUGAUUUUAAAUUUUGAUAAACAGAUAUUAUUUGGUUUGAUUUUGGUUUUACUAAAAAUUAACCGCAAAAAUAACCAAACCGAACCGCGAAGUUAUAUAUAUAAAUUUUAUAAUUAUUUAUAAAUAAAAUACAAGUAUUUUGAUAAAUUUUAAUUAACUUAAGUCUUUAAUUUUACUAUUUUCUAAAGCCCAACACUUUAAAUUUUAGCCCAACUAUUGAAACCAUAAGUCUAAAUCCCUCAAUAUUCAUUACUUUAAAGAUCACACUUUCUCUGUAUUUUAUAAAAAAAAUUAACGCAACAUUGAAUAAUUUAAAGCUCAACCUAAAGAAGAUGGUAAUUGAUUAGUUUUGACUAUGAAAUAUUGGUUGUUUUUUUCGAGAAGUAAUUUCUCAAUAUUCUAAGGUGUAACGUUAUUGAAAAGUCUAUUGACAAGAUAUUGAGAUCUCUAGAAUAUUGAACCAACUUUAUGCUAUUUACAAUGAGUUUUUUUAGUUUCUGAAACUUGGUACAUUGGAUGAAUCACUUUGUUCGUGUAAUAGCUUAUUUGUGAAUUAUUCAUGUACUAACUGUUUGUGUCUAUCGAGAUGUGUAUGUCCUCAACAAACUUAUUACUUUCGAACCGAAAAAACCGAACCAAACCGACGGUUAUUUUUUUGAUUUGGUUUUGAAAAUUUAAAAACAGGUUUAAAUUGAUUUGGUUUUGGUUUUAACUAUUAACCGAUUCAAACCGAACCAUAAACCCCUAGUUGUAGGUAAUGUUUCAUUUAAACUCAUCUUAGUUCAAUAUUGUAAAAAUAAUAAUUUUAUGUCAUGAUCCAAUCACAGAUGACACGUAUUGUCCGUUUAUGGCCCAGAAGACGUUAGGGAUUUAUCCCUUGGGCUACGUUGUCAUCAUCAAGCACAAUAGUAUGUGUACAGUGUGAACUUGUGUUAUAUAUGUCAUAUAAAACUCUUUGAUUUUCUUGUGCACCUUUUCUUAGCUCGUCAGCAUACAAAAGCUUGUCAAUCCUGCUCUAUAUAUGACCCACCCUUCAGGCUUCAUCAUGGGCGUCACAUAUACCUCCUUAGAAACUCGACGUCCUUGUGAGGUUUUGUAUUGAAGGAGUGUCCGGCUCUAAUUACACUAAUUAACCCCCCACCCCAACAAACAAACAAAAAAUUAAAGAAGAAACAUAUGUUCUUCUAAUAAUUUAUCUUGGUUGGAAGAGGAGACACUUUAUGUAAGAUUGCUCCAAUGUCUUUGUCAAUUGGAUGUGCCCACAUAUCUGAGUCAUGUCUUCAAUCACAGCUAAUCUAGAUGCCUAUUCUAUCUUUCUAUGAUUGUGAGUCACUUUCAACAUUCUGUUGCCUAAAGAAACUUGCAUCAUCAACAAACCCCACUCCCUAUCACUUAAAGUCUUUCAAUUAUUUAUAGCCCCUAGCUAGCUCUUACAAAGCAAACAUCAACAAGUACUACCUAAGUCCUAAUUAAUUUUUCCAUAAAUCAUUUGGAUUGACUUGUCAAUUGUCAUUAUCUUAGGGUUUUAUUUAAUUUAAUCUUUGUCUCCAAUUAGGACAAAGAGCACUAUAACCUCUCCUUUAAGAGACAUUGAUUGCACAAUUAAGAGAGAAUAAUUGUGCACAAAAAGCAAGGCAAUCUAGAGUCUAAUUAUCCCAAUAAUGAUACCAUAAUAGCCAAUAUAAUUUAUUUCCCCACCUACUUAGUACUUAGGCUUAUCAUCAUGUGAAUUUGAACUUAGAAAUAACAUUAUUAAAAAGUUUAUAUGAUGUGUGGAUUAAGAUCAUCACUAGUGCUUCCACUUAUUAUGAAAAGAUCCUUCUUAAUCUAUGACCCCCUAUGGCACUAAAUAUAUAAACAAGAAAAAUUUAAAAACUAUAAAUAAGAUAUAAGCUAAGAUAAAUAGAAUGAAUUUAAUUAAAUUAAGUGAAUAUUAUAGCAUGUGUUGACCUGGCUCCAAUGAUAUCUUCAGGACAGCACUCCGCACUAGGCAAGUCCUAUACGACAGGCUCGACUCAAAAGAUAUUGAGGGGGGGUCGAUUCUGGAUCAUCCGUGUGGAUAACCACCCUCCAAAUCAAUAUUUCUAUGCAUACUUAUCUAUAUUCACUAUUCAUACUCACGCACAUUUCUCUUAUAUGUAUUAUUGACCCCACGAAAAAAUUGAAUAAUGAUAAGGUACAAUAGUUGUUAGUAAAACUCAUGAACUUUAUUUGAGCAAGACAUAAUUAAAGAAGUACUACAAAAACAUAAAGAAAAAUUGCCACUUGAUUAAACAAUGAUAUGACCUCUCUUUCUUUUUUUCCAUGAACUUUUGCAUAUAGUGAAAGAAUAAAACCAGGACAGAAAUCACACAUGACAUGCUUAUAUAUGAGUAUUGAGUAAAUUAAAAUUGAAAUUGAUCUAUUCAAUAUUCACAAAUUUUAAAUAAGAAAGAAAUGCUUAUAGGUAAACUAUAAUACAUACCUCGUAAUUAAAUUAAUCAAGACUUUUUAAUCAAUCUAUCUUUAUCUCAAUCAAUGCUCGAAAUCAGAUUAUUUCAUUUUAGAAUUAGAUCAGUCAGAAUGUAUUUAUGCAUGCUAACGCGCACAUAGGGGAGAGGAUUACAAGCGUGGAAAUCGAAUCUUUUUCAGCAAGGUAAAAGUUUAAAAUUUAAAUAGUCAACCAACUGAAGUAUCAUAAUUUUCCUGAAUUUGUUAGAAUACGAGAAAAUAAUCAAGUUGUGGACAUUUUGCCUAAGAAGGGAGCAAAGAAUAGAAAUGUUUAUGGGACAAAGAUUUUGAUAGUUUCUCCAAUAUUUGCUAAUAAAGCUAUCUAGACAAACAUUUAGGAAUUACGUUAAAAUGACAUAUUUUAAUUUGACAUGUAAUAUUAUAUAUAAAAACUAGGCAUAACAUGAUAUAUAAACCGUGCAAAUCUAUGCACUCCUACUUUGUGCAUAAGUAGACACUCAAAUUUGUAUAAAGUUGAACAAGUAAAUACACUUCCUACAUGACAUAAUAUAUCUGUAGACGCAAAUUGUCAUGUAGGACUCCACGUAGGUGUAUCGACUUGUUCAACUAUAUAUAAGUUUAAAUGUCUAUCUAUGCACACUCAAAUUUAGAGGACAUAACUGUCAAUUGAGGUCAAAUUAAAGAAUAUUUUUAGGUGUGAUGUGUGUAUUAUUUAACCCACCCCACCCAAGCCCAAAAAAAGAAGAUGUUACAAUAGUGAUUAGACUGGCUAUCAAUCAUUAAUUUUUCCUUUUCCUUUUACUUUUUCACCUCUUUAUCUUCUCUUUCUAUGUACACCUAAAUUCUCAUGACCAACAAUGUCCAUCACGUGAUGUCUUGGAUUUUUCUUUAGUAGAGGAACUACUUAAUACUUAUAUUAUUAUAAUGCCUAAUAGGCAGUGAUCGAACAACAUUUUGCACCAUUUACCUAAUUGUAAGAUGGAAAAAAUUUCAAUAAGUGAGUUGAGAGGUCGUUUUUGCUUGAAAAAAAAUUAAUGUUUACAUAAAAUAGGUCCUCCUAGCUUGCUUGAAAAAGUAAUUCAAAAUAAACAUCAACUUAUUGUAUGAAAUUAUAAAACCUUAGAAUUCUACCGCCCCGAGUUCAAAUUUGUGUACAAAUAUCAAGACACUUCAUGUCGUUUCCACUGUGUCUAACUUACAAAAUAAUUAUCUAAAAACCUCAAAAAAUUAUGUUUCAUAUCAGCAUCAGAGUCUCGGAUGUGUGUGGGGACGAGUUGGAGUGUUCCGUUGAGAUCAAAUUGAGGUGUAUAUAUCUCGAUGUGCACUAUCAAAGUUGGAGUGAGAUCAGCUAAGGUCAAAUAAUUGAGUGCAUAGUUAUGUAUUAUUAUUGUGUGUAUCUCACUCUCUCCAAACUCACACAAGAUAGAGAUAAGAUCUACGUAACUUAUAUGACCACAUUGGAUAUGUUAUUAUUGUGUACAAAAUCUUGUGUAUUAUAGUAAAAACAACUUAUUUGGUACUUUAGUCCUUGCAUAGUUUAGUUUGGCCAUAGUGAUGAUUAUACAGUUGGAUGAAUUAAAGAGCCUUUUGUAUAUAGACCUGCAGAUACCCAAUAACCUAAAAGUUGCACUUUUUUUUUUGUUUUCCAUUGGUUGUUACCUAUAACUAAAUUUGGAUUCACGUUGGAAAUCACACAUUCAUGUAAGGUAAAACACUUCUUCAUAAAGGUAAUUCCAUAAACCGAAGAAUUCGAAUCUGAAACAUCUAGUUAUAUAUAUUUAAAAAAAAUACUUACCAUUCACUAACGUCGAAAAGUUGCACUCAUGGUAUACAAUGGUACUAAUGAAGUGUUGUGUUAUAAUAUUAAUAAGGAUCUUCAUCAUCUCCCACUUUGCAGGUACCCUACAACUUUAUAUUUUCAAAAAAUAUUGGGUGAGAGCUAGCUUGCUAGACUGAUGAUUUAAAAAUAUAUAUGGUAUCCAGCUCUAUUGUGCACUGUCCUUUAAUAUUUCUUCUCACAUAACCAGUUGCCUUCCACUUAAUUUCCCAAACUACACAUUUGACUUGUGCAAAACAAAUGAUAUGAUGUUAUUCCAAUACAAAAGCCUGACCUACAAACUACAAAGUCACUACUUCUCUCAAUGGAGUUAAAUUUUUUAGUUUUAAUCGUAAAUUCGGACAUAAAAUCUCUAAAAAAAAUAAAAAUUAUAUAUUUGAAAACCUUGUAAAAGUAUCAUAAGGUAUAUUUCAUUCGUCUCAAUUUACUUUCGAAAUUCGAAAAGAGUGAUUCUCCAGCUUGUUUCUUUUGAAUUUUCCUAUGUAUAUGUUAGGUGCUCACAGCUAAGCUAGAUACUAUCUUUAAUUCUUUAUUAUCCCAUCAAGGUGUAAUCUAUUUGAUGUUUGACUCUAUUGCUUCACUAUCCUAGCUAGAAAGAAGAAAAUGAUAUAUAGUACCAUGCAACAUGCAGCAUCUCCAGCUUUUCACCUUUAAGCAAAGUUGACCCCCCUAAUAAAUUAUACGUCUUAUCGUCGAUGAUAGAGUCAGAAUUUUUAUUUAAAAUUUCAAAAUAUAGAGAACUAUAAACAUAAGAAAACUUAAACAUAUGUGUAGUUAGCAAUAUAAUUUUUUAACGAAGGAAUAUCAAUUGACAUCUAAGACGAAUACAUGUAAGUAACAUGUUAUAAUCGACUAGAUUAAGCUAAUGGUGUUUUUAUAAAGUUUUACGUUGUCACGCACUUACAAUUGUACCAUCAUGUGAAAUGUGUAAUAUGUCAACUCAUGACUCACAUGGGGCCUUCCAUUUAUGACAAACUUUGAAUAAGUUGAUUUUUAGACCUAAAUAAUAGGCGAAGCUAUAAUAUUAAUUAGUAUAUGAUUUCUCUUUUGAGUUUUCGAAAUUAUCAUGUGUAUCAAAUUUUGGUCCUCAAAUGUAUAUGUAUGUAUCUAGUGCGUUCUAAUACAUGUAUUUCGGAUAUAUGAAAUUAAAAUUAGAUGUAAUUUAUUUCAGAUAUACUGUAUCCAAGUGAAUUAUAUAUUCACAUGUAUCUGAAAUAUGUGACUCUCUCGCUCGCCUCUCUCCUAUAUUGCUCGCCUUUCUCCUUGUGUCGCUUGCGUCUCUCCUUAUGUAUAUGUAUUUUAGAAUGUAUCUGUAAUCUCAUAUACAGAUACAUGUAUCUAGUAUGAUUUGCAUGUAUUUGGUAUACAUUAACUCUCUCGCUCACCUCCCUCCUAUAUCGCUCGCUUCUCUCUCUAUAUGGAGUAUAUUUGGUAGCAAAAAUACAUGUAUCUAUAUGUAUCUGACUUGAAAUUUGGUAUAAAAUUAUGAAUUAGCGAGACAAUAGUAAAUUAAUUAUUUCAAAAUAUAUAGAAAAUUAGUAAAUAUGAUAGAAAUGUUCGUGUAAUUAUAAAUAGUUCGCUUCCAAUUUAAAUUUCUUUUACUACUAGCUAGUAUACAUAAUGUUAUUUGUUGAUGAAGGGGGUUCGGAUGAAUCCUGCCCUUGCUUCUAUCUAUAGACUAGAUUCACCUAUGUCUUGUAGUUAUACUGAAAAAUUGACUAAAUAGAUAAAGUCUCUAGUUCAUUAUGAAUCCAUUAAUUAAAAUGAGCUGUAAAUUUGAUAGUAGAUAAUAAAUUAAAAAGGAGUUUUCAUUAUUAUUAUUUUCAUUUCAAAUUACUCACAAAAAGUCAAAAAUAACUCCAAUUUUCAAAUAUUUCCUUUGUCCCUAAUUACUUGUCCACUUUUUAUUUUAUAGUUAUCCUUAAUUACUUGUCCAUUUUGACAAAUCAAGAAAGGACAAAAUAAUUUUACCUAUUAUACCCUCAAUUAAUUGCUCCCUCCGUCCCUAUUUAGUUGUCCAUAUUUCCUCUUUUAGUUGUCAAUUUUGACAAAUCAAGAAAGGACAACUAAUUUUUUUCCUAUUAUACCCUUAUUUAAAUAAAGUUGUCAUAAAUAAAGUAAAUAAACUUAUGAACUUCCUAGCAUUGAUUAGUUAUCUUGAGUGAAUUUAUUUUGGAAUUGUAAAUUGCACUAUAAGGGUAAAAUUGUAACUUCAUUAUGCUAAUCAUUGUUGCCUUAAUCUGUGUGUCAUUUCUAAAGUGGACAACUAAAUAGGGACGGAGGGAGUAUUUUGUAAAAGAUAGAAUUUCUUGAAAAUCUUAAAUUUUUAAUCCAUCCACUUCAUAAUUAAUAGGGGUAAAUGGUAAACUCACUAUGUCAAUAAUUGCUUUCUUUAAGGUGUGUUAAUUCAAAAGUGGACAAGUAAUUAGGCAAUCAUUUUUCACUUUGAAAAUAAAAGCUACUUUUUUUUUAAUUUUUCAAAUUUCACAAUAAAACACGAUUAAACAUAGUAAUAAAAAAUAUGGAAGGACUGCAUUGCAUUAAUAUCCCAUGCACGUUUGCAUGGUGGAUAUAUGAAGAACUACAUUAUAUUGUAUGGAGUAAUAUUUUUAGGUUUCUGAUUAUGGAAGGUCCAAAGAAUCACAAGAUCAUAUUGGAAACUGUAAAAACCUUAGAAUUCUUAUUUUUUAAUUAACUAAAAUAGAUGACGUUCUAUCAAUUCAAGAAUCACUGAAAUUUAUAGCAUUUGACCUGUAAGUGAUAGGGUGGCUACUCUUUUUUUAAUUCUAUAUAUCAUAUUAUAAUAUAAAGUCUCUUUUCUUUGUAAUCUAUGAUUAAUAAUAUUCAGUACUAAUAAAGUAAACGUUUCCAAUUAAUUAAUUAAAAUAAUGAUUUACUUUCAUCAUGUCAAACAUUCCGAAUCCUAUGCCAAGAAAAAAGUAAAAUUUAAUAUCAAGAUUUGCUUCCUUUGUGCAGUGCACUAUAAGAUAUCAUGUUAUAUUGUCUCAUAAUUAAAUUAAUAAUAUUAUCAUUCUUAUCAUAAAGUGUUAAGUAUUUUGUCAUUUUUAACCAGAGGUCCUGAAUACAGAGUCGUGACCUUUGUAAGUGUUUAAUUCCCAAUGUGAGAUUUUCUGCUAUAAAUCCAAAUUUACUCAAGUUUCAAACACCGGAAAAAAAAAUAAAAAAAUCUCAACAUCAAAAACUUUUAUAGUUUCUUGUACUACAAUUCAAAUAAUUAUAUUAAUUAAACAAUCACCUUUCCUAAAAUAAAAUUUAGAAUUACUAAAAAGAUCAAAAGAAAUUAUGUGACCAUGGAGUAUAUAUAUAGAAUAUUAAUUUCCUUAGUAGUAGAAGUAAGCUUUUGAGGUCACUAACUUUUUUAUAUACUAAAAUGGUGAAAGAUUUUUAAAAAAAAUUUAAAUUUAUUUUGUUAUUGUUUAUUUUUUAUUUUAAAAAAAGAGACAUAAACAUUGGGAAGGAUGGGAAUAGCAGAGAUUCCACUUUCCUUAAUAUGGAGUAAAGGGAUGGGGCAUUCCACACUAUGUUUGUUUAUAUCUUGACCAAAUUCUUUCUCUCUCCUCUACCAUAACUAUAAUAAUAAUAUUUUCGUAUAAUUUUUAAAUAUCUAAAUUUAAUUAUAAGACGUUAGAUCAAUUAAUCUAAUACUACUACAUAUACCAUACUAAGGAUUCAUUUGAUUGGUUGAUGAAAUAAUUAUAAAUAAAGAUAUUAAAUUGAAUUAAUUUAUCUCACUUUUUUAUAUAGAAUCUUGUUCUACUAUUUAUAUUAAAAUAUUAAGUAGUUUGUUCGCAUUUUGCGUGAUCAUGAAUAACUUGUUUUAGCCUUGUCAUCAAUAGGGGUCAAGAAUAAAACAAUCUGGUAACUAAAUAAUACUUUUUUUUGUCUUAAUUUAUAUAGCAUUUUUGGAUUUCGAUAUUUAAAGAAGUUUAUUUUUCACCAUAAUUUUUCAAAAUAUCUUUUAUAUAUUUAGAAUUGUCAAUUAUUGUGGUUGAUAAUACUUAUAACGUGGUUUUUAACUAUAUAAAUUAUAUUUCAAAAAACUUGAAAUUUUUCUAUUUAAAUUCACAAUCAAACUUAAAUUAUUUAACCGUUUUGAAAUUUGAAAUAUGGCAUACAAAUUAGCACAAAAAGAGUAGUUAUCACCAAAAUGUAAAAUAAAAUAAUUAUAUAGAAUAGUACUUUUGUUUUUUAAAGAGGAAAUCAAAUAUCAAUUCUCUUGACAGGUGUGUCAAUACAGAAGAAACAGUAGCUUUUUUAUUAUUAAUAUUUUUGUGUAAAAGAGAAUUCCAAAAAAAAAAAAGUCCCCACAAGAGUAGAGAGCCAUCACUAACACCAUCACUAUCCAUCAAUAAAUACAAUUUCUUUUAACCCAAACAAAUACUCUCUACUUUCAUCACUCUCUCAGAACUCUUGUCCCCAAUACACUUUACUUAAAUCUCGAUUAAUUUUAUGAGAUAUUUGUCAUUUUCUAGCAACGAUAAAUAUCUAUUCAUCAAGACUAAAAUAGAUGGAAAGAAUUAUCUAGUAAUCUUUUUGUCUCCGUUGAGUUUUGAAUCUGAAAUCUCAGAAUUCUCAACCACUUCAUUGACCACAAUAUGAAAUUUUAAAAAGUAAAAGAAUUUCGAAUCUUAUAAUCUUAUGGCUUAAACAUAUCAUGCAAAAUGUUAAAAUUAAAAAAAAUAAUUAUAAGAUAAAUAAAUUAAAAUGAAAAAGGCGAGAAGUAUUUAUUUCAGUUUUAUGUACAUUCAUGCACAAGCAACACAAAAUUAUACACAUCCCACACCCUUUUUAAAAAAAGAAAUUAAAUUUAGAAAGUGCCAAAAGAAAACUUAAUGUAAAUGUAUGUCUCUAUCAUGAAAAGGAUGGUCAAAAAACUUUUAUUAUAUUUAUGUAGUAAUCAUUUAUUGAUAAAAAAAAAAAAAGAAUUAAGGUACGUACUCCUAGGAGAAAAAUAAUACUGAAAAUAUGCUUGUUAGAAAAGAAAAGAAAAAAGUUUAGUAAUAAAUAGAGGAAAUACAUAUGUUGUGAAUUAAAUAUAAAUCGUUUUAAUUUUGAAUUUAGCCUAGCUAUAUGAGUUUAUGGCAGGUUGGAUAUUUUAUUUUUCAGUAAUUAAUUUCACCUAAAAAAAAUAAGUGAAAAUUUUAAAAAUUAAAAGUGAAUGGUAAAAAACACACCUACAAUAUCUAUGAUUUUUGAGUUUCAUACCUUAAUAAUUAAUUAUCAAGCGGAAAUAUUUUUAAUCUAAAUUAUCAUCAAAUAUUUAUCGAUAGACAUGUUAACUAUCAAUCGUUUACCUUUUUUCCUCAGUAGCUUUGUGUAUUUACAGGAGUUAAACAUACUCUCAAUUGUAUCGAUAAACAAUCAAAUUUUCAUCUGCUGCUUAAACCUUUCAGUUACAUUUUCCUUUUACACAUACUUUAAAAAAUCACAAAUAAGGAAGUAUAUUUCACUAAUUUAUCCUAAUGUAUAUAUUAUUUACUUUUAAAAUAAUUAGUUUAAAGAGCAAAAUAAAAAAGCUUAUUAAUUUUAUUAAUUAAUAAGUAUUUUGAGACAGACAUUUUUAGUAAUAUUGACAACUAAUAUGACCAGAGGGAAUAGUUACUAUUUCGAAAAUGUUAUUUAGAAAAUGGAUCCUUUUAUUUCCAAUACUAUUUCUACUCGUAUUGUUUUUUUAAUAAUAGUGAAGGUAAGUAGUACUACUAAAUUUCUGAAUUGAAGGGUCAGGGAAAAGACUUGUCAAUUUUUACUCUCACGUAAUUGUCAGCUUGGUAGAAAUUGAAAGCAACUUAUGAUAUAAUAAGUACAAUAAAAAUAAUAUAUUUCUAGAAGCUAGAUGUCACAUGUAUAUGUUAAAAAAUGUUAUUUGGUUCGUAUUCAAUAAAAUAUGAGUAAUAAGCAUUGUUCACAAAUUUAUAGUAACAUAAGAUGAAAGAAUGAAAAAAUCGAGUUUACUGAAUUUAUAAUAAUGUGUGUUUAAAAGAAUUAUGAAUUGUGAAGAUUCACUUAUGCAUGCCUCAAUCUUAACUGGUUGAGAUCAACUAUUGUAUAAUGUGAAGAUUUAUCGUAUUAAUUAUUUUUAAAUUGAUACAAUUAAAUUUAUAAACGUCGAUUUAGAACAGGUGAAUUGAAAUGACCAAACAAGAAAAAUUUUAUAUUAAUUUUCUUAAUUGACAAUGUAUAUUUAUUAAUAUUAUUUGUCAUAUACAUUGUUACAUAGUUUUAUUAUUUUUUAUGCUAAACUUUUAUCCAUGUUUAAAUUUUUGCCACAUAUAUAUAAGAAAAUAAUGAAGAAACUAGAAUGGAAGUACAGUUAGGAUAAUAUAUUUCAUCUAGUCCAUAAAUAAUUUUUUUUGUCACAUUUAUAAAUAGAUAUACUUACAUUUUGUAUUUUAUGUGAGAGUGACACGUGAAGUGUUAGGUAUAAAACUACACAGUACAACUAGUUUUUUUAUUAUCAAUUUCAAAAAUAUAUGUUAUAGUAAAUACUAUUAUUUAUUUAAGCAAAUAUUUGAAUAAUUAGCUUAGUACAAAAUAAUAUUGCAGAUUUUAUUGUGAAUGUUCAAUGUAGAUCAUCAUAUAUAUCUCUUAUUCACGCGAACCAAUGAAGAUGGUCAACGAAAAUUUUUAUUAGUUAAAUGUAAUAAUGUUUAUAUUUAUUUUAAUUUGAUGAGGUUCAAUAAUGUAAUUCGUUGUAUCUCACUAAUAUUAUCUUAUAGGCGAUAUUUGUUGUGUAUAUAAAAAUUAAACUAAUACAAACUUCAACUAGUGUUAUUACAAGUCAUAUGAAGUUUUCUUCGUCUAAAAUACUGAAAUAUUAAAAAAUAGUUAAUAAGUAAAACAAAAGGGCAAUGUUUAUAUAGUAUUAACUAUUUUGAAACAAACUUUCUAACAAUCUAAAGCACAUAAGUAGCAUUGAUAAAAAAAAUCAUUCUUUUGUCUUGAGCAUCAAAAAAACAAAUAGUGACAAUUCUCUAAAUUUUGGAAAAAGAUAUUCAAAAACAUAUAUCUACAUCACAAGAGAAAUUGUUAACAAAAACAAAUGAAUUUAGACUACAUCAUGUGAACAUUACAUACAAAUGUAUAUAUUAAGAAAAAAAAAAUUAUUAUACCAUCAAAAUUAUUUUCCUCAAGUACUUGAGGUUAUAGAAUAUACCCUCUUAGGAUAAAACGAUUUACUUCAUCAAAAUAGUGGUACCUCAUAUUCCGCUAAACUUUUAACUCACUUAACGACAAUAAAUCACACAAAAAUUUAAAAAUAUAAGAAGAAUAGGAGUAGAAGAUUAAAAACAAUUGUGGUUGAAAAAUGAGAGGAAGCCCCUCUAUUUAUAGUCAAUAAAGGGUAGUAUGAACAAAUGUUUUUUGUGUCUUAUAUGAAAAGUCAUGACCUUUCCGAGAAAUCACAAUCCUUUGCGAAAAGUCACAACUUAUCGAAAAAAUUACAACUCAUCGAAAAAGUCACAGCCUAAGUUAGAGAUAUUAUAGUAAUUUAACAUUCAAGUUAGGAGUUCAUGCUUUUAAGGUUAUAUAUAUAUAUAUAUAUGUAAUUAAUGAUAACUGCAAAACCGUUUCGAUUGUUCAUUGUUUUGAGUUAUUGUACGUACGAUGUUAACAAUGGUUGUUUUAAGUUAUUGUGCGUACGAUGUUAACAAUGGUUUAACAAUCAUAGAUAGUACACUUUACGUCUCAAAUUAAUUGUCAUGUUUUAUUUUUUAAGAGUUGAUUGGACGAAUUACUAAGUUAAAUUGGAUUAUAUUAAUUAACUUAAUAUUUUGAUAAAUAAAAUUUAGAUAUUCGGAAAUUCAAUGAAAGAUAUAGGAAAAAACAUUUGAAAUAUAUCUGAACUUUGAUCGAAAUUGUUGUAACAAUCACAAACUUUGGGCGAGACUUAUUAUCACAUGCACCAUUUAAUAGUUAUUUUAAAGAUAUAUAAGUGUCCAGCUUGACAAAUUACUAUUUAUAAUGAUGCAAUAUUUUUUAUGGGAAGAUGUUUGAUAAUAUUAUAAUCUUAAUUAAUCAUAAUGUAUUUGUUUAAGUAUUAUUUAUCACUCAACACUCUCACGUUUCCUUUAUUUAAUUAAUAAGUAGUACUCCCUCCGUCCCAUUUUAUGUGGCAACAUUUCCUUUUUGGUCAGUCCCAAAAAGAAUGUCACUUUCCUUAUAUGGUAAGUAUUUAAAGGUGUAAUUCCUUUUUUACCCUUGUUGGUCCCACUUAAUCUUAAAAUAAUACUCCAAUACAUUUAUGAGGAGAGAGAAAAGUGAGUGUACUUUUUAAAGGGCAAACAUUUCAAAGUCUUCAUUUAUUUCUUAAACUCCGUGCCCGGUCAAAUGUUGCCACAUAAAAUGGAACGGAGGGAGUAGUAAUUAUUGUAAAAAUAAUUCAAGUAUAAAAAUAACGAUCGUGUGUAUCUGUUCACAACAGUAAAAUAAAUCGUAGUUGAAAUCAUCAAGAAAAAGCUGCCACAAGUCCACUUUGUCUCUCUUGAAAACAAAAAAUUAUUUAACUACCCGGUUUACUUUACAAAGUUUUAUUUCACAAAUUACGAUCUAUUAGUGAUAUUUUAUAUUGAUUGUGUUCUCUUCAUUUCAACGUAUCUUAUUUUUACCCUCAUUCCUUAUAGUACUCAUCCCUAUCAUUCCAUACCCCUCUCUUCCUAUCCAAAUCGUCCAUAGUGUUUGUCUAAUUAUAUUCAAAUAUUUUUAGGAUAAUAAUUUUUGUUUAUCUAUCAAACACAUUAAAAAAAAAUUUCUUAUGUUCCAAGAUGAAAAAUAUUUUCCUUCGUACGAACACACCCUUAAUGUAGGAUAGAUUUUUUGGAGUUGAAUAACUUUUUUAUUACUUUUUCAAACAUUUCUAGUACCGACUAAUUUAUUCGAGCUAGACAUCUUAUGAUGUCAUGAUGCGUUCAUGCUUCCUAUGGCCCUUUCUUUAAUACUUUUGGCUCUCAGGGGUCUCGUUAUAGUAUAUUUGACUGAAGUGUGACUUGUAAAUCCAUAAAUAAUUGGUAUUGUAACGAAGUGAUUGUUGCUCACCUGAUACAAUCGUAUGUUAGAUCACAAUUCACCCAAUACGCAAGCAAAAUUCAUGUCAAUGAUGAGGAUAUUCAGUCGACUCCUUCCCUCUUUGUGGGGUUCCAACCCUUACGAGUGAGCAAAAAAAGGAGAAAGAAUGAGAUCCUGGUGAACUGUCAUAAUUAGUGAACAAAUGUAAGCUUCAUAGAUUCCUUGACAACUUUUUCCAAAUUAAUUAUCUCCUCUAAAUGAGUUGAAUCAGUCCAUAUAAAUAAUCCGCGACUAAUAAGACUCGAUAUUCAACAAUAAUUAAUCCCCUAAAGAAAAAAGAAAUAAUAAAUUAUAAAGGAAUUCUUCUUCUUCUUUUCCAAAAUAUCAACUUUUCAAAACAAAUUCAUUUUGUCAAAAUAAUUAAUAUUUGAAACAAAAGGUAACAUAUAUAUACAAUUACAAAAUUGUAAGAUAAAAAAUUCUAAAAUUGCCAUAAAUAAAUAAAUUAAUAUCAUGUCAGUCUAUAUAUAUAUAUAUAUUGAAACAUGCAUGUGUCUUUGUAUUAUUGCAUUUAGAUUUGUACAUAAAAUUUGUUGAUCCCUUGUGUGUUUUGGACCACAAAAAAUACAGAAAAGAAGAAGAAGAUGAAAUUAUGUAUGGAGUUAUUAAUGUAAUGAACAGUAGUCUGAAAAAGAAAAUAAGAUUGGAAUUGGUCAAAGAAAACAGAUGCAUUCAUGACACACAUAUGUCACGAGACUAUUGGAUUUUAUUGAACUUUUUUCUAUCUAUACAUACAUCUUUUUAGUACCCAAUGUAUAUCAAUUUUUGGUACUAUUGGGGUCAUUAGGUUUGAAAAUAAUUUAGGUUGGUAUUAUUUUUAAUUGGCUAUUUGAUUUGUCAUAUUAAAAAUAACAUUUAUUAUAUAAUUUUUAGAAAAUUUUACGUUAAUUUCAUAGUUUUAAGAGCUAGUUGCAUUAUAUAUCUAUUUUUUUUUAAUUACAAGUAUCCCUUAAAUUUGAUGGAAUUCGGAUAUAUCCCAAAACGCCAUAAUAUAUCACGUCUUGAUUUCGGAUACAUCGUUCAACAUUCCGAUACAUCAUUCAAUGUCCCGAUACAUCGCGUAUGUACCGAUACAUUGCGUAAAGUGCUGUAUCCGAGAAUAAGAGAGAGUAAGGAUUUUUGUAAUUUUUUCAAAUGGUAGAAAAUUUUAGAAAAUAUGGUAAAUAAGUUGUGUAUUUAGAUAAUUUUUCCUAAUUUUUAAGAAGUAGUUAUUUGUUUAUAAAAUUAUUCUCUACCUUAUUUAGUAGAAAAAUGGUUUGAGGGGACCUAUAAGGGUAUUUUUGUCAUUUUUAUUAUUCUAUCUUGUGAUAACUAAUUUCUAUACUUUUAUUUUUCCAAUUGGAAGGAAUAAUUUAUCGUGGUACUAAUUAUUAAUUAUUAGUAGUAGAGACAGAAUUUUGGCGAAGAAUGUGUAAAUUUUCUUCUCAAUUAUAUUAAGAGUGUAGAAAAUUAAAUACACACUCCUAAUAACUAAUAUUUAACUUGCGUACGCCACAUAAGUUAUCAGUGAAGAGUGUCCACAUACCACCAUCCACCUAAGAUAGCUCCAUUCAUGCUAAUCAUAAAAUAACUUAUCUUAAAAUUAGUAAUCAAAUAAGAGAUAAAAUAAUAUUAAUUUUGUUUAGAUCACAUAAAUAAAUGUUUGUCCAUCAUACCAAAAGAACCGUAAAUAUAUGGGUGGAAAUUAAUGUAUAUCUAUUGCCUCUUUUAUUUAAUUGAGUAAGUUUGUUAGGCUGUUCACUUAGACUUUUAUUUGUUUUUGAGAUUGACUUACUUAGGCAAAUGCACGAGCUUCAUCGUGUUAGGUUUAUUGACAUGUUGGACAUGUAUUUCUCCUUCCAAAAUUUUAUCUCGUUAAGUUUAGGCGUGUUUCAAAUACUUAUCUCAGCUUUUAUUAAGGGCCCCAUACUCCUACGUACAAGAGAUUGAAACGACUUGCUAUGUCAUGCAUGUGGCAAAUCAGAGCUGAGUCUAAGUUUAGUUAGUUAAGUAGAUGAGUAUUUUUAAUAUUGUCAAUAGUUUGAAGACAAAACUAUUAAUUUUCGCCAAGUUCAGAAAUAUUUUCAAUAAUUAUUGUCUCGUUUUAUUAGGAUAGAAAAACAGUUGUUUGUGCAUCACAUGCUCAAUUUGACAUUGUGUUACACAAGAAUAAGUGUGUUGCUAUUUUAUAUGGUUCUUAACUUUGACAUUCAAACUCCAUCACGUUUAGGAUUUUUGGCAUUGUGAUUGUUGACUUCAACUGCCUAAUAUGUGACAACUUGAGCAAAUUUUAAAUGUUGAUUGAGACCAAUUUCUAUUAAUUGAGGUAAAAUGAAAUAUUUCAAAAUCAACAGGUAUAGAAUAUUAUUACAUUUAGGUGUGAAAAAAUCAGCCUACAAAUUAUAAUUCGUUCAAUUUAUUUAGGUUUUGGGAGAUUUGAUAAUUUACUUGUUUUAUUAAUCGGUUCGUUUGCACUUUUGCCUCUCAAAGUAAUUUUUUUUACGGAGCGUGAAUUUAUAUUUCCACAUCAUAAUAUUUCAUGAGUAAUGUUCUAUGUCCUUAAAGAAUGUAUGUCUCGCUAGGUAUAAGGUCAAUUUUGAAGGGCAAAAAUUAAAAAUCAAUUCAUUUGAAAGACAAAUCAUGCAAUUACACCUGUGAAAAUUUGGGUAAAUAUUUUUUAAAAAAGAUAUUUUUUUAAAAAGAUAUUUUUUUAUUUAAUAUUUUAUACGGUCAUAAUAUAAGAAAGUCUUAUUAGAUACUUAAACAAAUUAUAAUAAUAAUAAAACAAAAAAUUAGAAUUAAUAAGAAUUGGAUGAGUUAGGUUAUUACUCGAUUUUUAGCUCAUUGCACCCCAAUUAAUCUCGACAAAUAACUUUUAAAUGAAUCAAUAACACACUCACUUAUUAUCUCAGCCCAUUUUCACAUAUCCAAAUUUAACCUAACACGUUAAUUUGACACCCUAAUUAAACCCAUUACUCAUUUUUGGUUAUAGUUGUUAAUUUAAUUUGUAUAAGUGCAUACUUUUAACAGUGAUCAUUCGAAUCAUCACAUAAUAACAAAUUAUCAAUAAUAACAUAUUCAAUAAAAAUUUAAAAUGAUAGAAUAUAUGGAGAUAUUAUAAUCAUCACAUUUGUUAUUGAAACUAGAAAUCCGCCGUUGAUAUGUAUAUUGCCUCAAAUUACAUUAUUUUAAAAAUAAUAAAAAGGAAACUUGACUAUAGAUAGGGUAGGUGCAUUGCAUAUUACUAAAUUAGAAAUAAUAUUAUAGUAUUCCAAAAAAAAUAAAUGGUGAAUAGACUAAUGAUUUGGUCCCAAUAGGUAUAAAUGUAACAGAAAAUGGUUAAACGAUAAAAUGUAGGAAAAAAAAAACUAUGAAAGUGUAGUUUCUUUUUCCACAUUGAUUAAAUAUUCAACAAAUAAAUAAAAUUCAAAUUUAAGUAGGAAAUAAUAUGGCAGAAUAGUAGAGAAAAUAGACUAGCACUAUAAUUAUUGUUUGAAAUUGGCUUCACGACAUAGAGAUCUUUAUAGGCAUUUUUCUAAAAUAAUAAUAAUUACAUUAUCAGUUACCAUACAAGAAAAUAUAAUUGAUGAUAUAAAAUAAUAAAUUUAACUUAUGCACAUCGAUAAUAUGGUACGAAGCAAGCAAUCUACAAUAACAUGUAAAACUGACUGAUAAUAUUAUCAGUAUAUAUCAGUUAAAUUUAAAAAUACAAUAGAUUAUUAGUAGCACUAUGUCAAAAGUAUAUUGACACUCAAAAGCAAAGCAAGUGUUUCAAUUAUGAAUUCGUUCGAAUUUGAUAACUUCAAUUCAAAUAUUAUAUUUUAUAUUUAAAAUUUUAUUAUAUAAAUUGUUAAUUUAAAAUUGGAGGAAAAUUUGGGAAAAAAGACUUGAUAUGUUUUUCAACUUUGUGAUUUUAGAGUUGAUAUACCCUUUAUCAUAAAAAUGGGUUCAUAUAUCCUUAUCUUUACAAAAAUGACUCACAUAUACCUCUAUCUUUAUAAAAAAAAAAAAAAAAACUCAUAUAUACCUUUUUCAUAUAAAGGAUGUGAAAAAAUAAUUUUAAAUUAACUUUUUUAUUUUAUUUAAAAAAAAUAAAAUCAAGUAGAGAUAUAUAUGAUCUAGCAAAGUUCAGAGGUAUACUUGAUCCUUAUCACAUAUGAUUUUUUUUUUUUUUUGAACUUCUUUAAUUCAAUUACUAAUUUGAGUUUUAAAAUUUCCUUAUAGUGAGUUUCUUAUUCUUAUUUCAUUUUUUUCUUCAUGUUUUAGUGUAAAAAUAUGAUAAAUAAAAAGAAAGAAGUGUAAAUGAAAAAAAAUAAAAAAAUUAAAAAAAAUAAAAAAAAAAAAAAAAAAAAACUCAUAUAUACCUUUUUCAUAUAAAGGAUGUGAAAAAAUAAUUUUAAAUUAACUUUUUUAUUUUAUUUAAAAAAAAUAAAAUCAAGUAGAGAUAUAUAUGAUCUAGCAAAGUUCAGAGGUAUACUUGAUCCUUAUCACAUAUGAUUUUUUUUUUUUUUUGAACUUCUUUAAUUCAAUUACUAAUUUGAGUUUUAAAAUUUCCUUAUAGUGAGUUUCUUAUUCUUAUUUCAUUUUUUUCUUCAUGUUUUAGUGUAAAAAUAUGAUAAAUAAAAAGAAAGAAGUGUAAAUGAAAAAAAAUAAAAAAAUUAUUUGUGACUAUAUUGUAAUUUUUUUGUGUGUUUGUACAAACUAAAUUUAUUAUGAAAUAUAAAUUUGACUAUCAAAAUAGCCGUUGAAUAAAGAAGUAAAAAAAAUCACGUAUGAGAAGGAUCAAAUUUACUCAUACAUGAUUAUUUUAAAAUUAAAAUAAUAAUUUAAAAUAAAUUUUUUCACUUUCGUUGGAUUUAAAAGAUAUAUUUGGGUUAUUUAUGUAACAGUAGAAGUAUAUAUAUGAGUCAUUUUUAUAACAAGGAGCCACAAAAUAAAAAGAUAUAUGAUACCCUUUUUUCUUUACAAAUUACUCCAUUCGUCCACUUGUAUUUGUCAUGUUAUAUUUUUUGAAAGUUAAAUUAGAUUAGAUUAAUUCAAUAUUUUAAACAAAAAAAUUAGAUAUUAAAAAAUUAUACGAAAAAUACUAUAUUGUAAUUUUUUACAUAUCAAUAUGAUAAAAAAUACAUCAUAAAAUGUUAGUCAAAUUUAUUUUAGUUUAACUCUAAAAAAAGAAAAUAUGACUAUUAAAAAUGGACUGAGUUGCUUCAAAUUUUUAUAACCUUCCAAAUGUUAACUUCGUAUAAAUCAACUUAUAUUGAGGGGUUUGAAAAAAAGAGUAUUGGAAACCGGGCAGGCAAAAGCGUGGGGCCUUCUGCACUUCAUUUUGGUAUAAUCUUUAAAAAAACAAAAUUCUUUCUUAUUAGUAUUAUCAUUAUUUAGUACGGAGGUUUCUAGUUUAAGUUUUAGGUAUGAUUUUUUUUUAUAAGGAAAUGCUUUUCCUCGAGUGGGGCUUUAUGCAGUGUAAAUUUAAAAUAGUCGAGCUCCAAUAAGAAAAUUGAAUACCAGAUGAAAAUUCAUAUAUCUCAACUUAUGUGACACCCUUUCAUUUUCAGUUCGUCCAAACAAAAUGUCAGCUUUCUAUAAUUAGAAAUAAUUUCACUUCUAUCCUUGAUGAAAAAUUUAUAAUCACACAAACGAUAAAAAAUGUUGGAUCAUAAAUUUUUAAAAUCUUCUUUAUUUUUAAAAUUUAUAUAUAAUAAAAAUAUCACGUAAACUGAAACGGAGAGAAGUUGUCUUUUCCAUGAGAGAGAAAAGAAAGAAGGAAGAGGUAUAAAUGUGAUAGAUACUAUUUUCUUUGGUGGUGGCCUUAUAUAAAGCAACUAAAGGAUGUUAUGUCUUUGCUUCUUCUUAUAUAAAAAAAAAAAAAACUAAUUAUAGAAGAGAAAGAAACAAAGAAAAAAAAAACAUUAUUUCAUAUUCUUCUAAAAUAAUGGAAGAACAACUAAAUUCUUUAGCUGUUACUCAUCUUCUUCAACACUCUCUAAGAAGUUUAUGUAUUCAUGAAAACUCUCAAUGGGUUUAUGCUGUCUUUUGGAGAAUCCUACCUAGAAAUUACCCUCCUCCAAAGUAAUUAAAUCAUAUCGAUAUAUAUGAAAUCUACUGAUUCGACUAAUUCAGAUUCGUGUGCUGAUUAAUUAUUAUUUUUUGUCAAUUAGGUGGGAUAGUCAAGGUGGAGCAUAUGAUAGGUCAAGAGGAAAUAGAAGAAAUUGGUAAAUAUUUUUUUCAGAUCAUAUUACAUGUAUCAAAUUAUAUUCUUUUUUUUAUGGAAUUUUUUUUAAUUAUAGGAUAUUGGUAUGGGAAGAUGGUUUUUGCAAUUUUGCUGCAUCAACGGCUGAGAUUAAUGGAAAUGAAUGUCCAGGAUCAUCUUCUAAUAAUAAUUAUGGAGAAUAUCAACAUUAUCAAGGUCUUCAACCUGAGCUUUUUUUCAAGAUGUCACAUGAAAUUUACAACUAUGGAGAAGGGUAAUAAUAGAAAAAUUAUGUAAAAUAUUAUUUUUCAUCAUGGGUUUUUUUUUUUAUAUAUAUAAUUUUUUAUAAUAUUUUUUUGCAGUAUAAUUGGAAAAGUGGCAGCAGAUCAUAGUCAUAAAUGGAUCUAUAAAGAACCAAAUGAACAAGAAAUUAAUUUCUUGUCUGCAUGGCAUAACUCUGCUGAUUCUGUAAGAAUAAAUAAUUACUUCAUUAUUUUCUGUUUAAUAAUUACGAAAAUAAUAACAUACUCAAUGAGAUCUCAUAAGUGAAGUCUGAGUAGGGCAGUGUAUAUGACUAUACGCAAUCUUACUCCUGCUGUGAAAGUAGAGAUGUUGUUUCUGAUACAUCCUCAAUUCGGUGUAGGCAGCCCUACCCUUGUAGAAGUUGAGAGGUUGUUUCUGAUACAUGCUCGACUCGAAACAAAAUGUUUUCUUAUGCAUUUUGUGUUUUUUUUUUUUUUUUGUUAACAGCACCCUAGAACUUGGGAAGCUCAGUUUCGUUCUGGUAUUAAGGUAAUGUUUCUAAACUUAAUUAUAUAUAUAUGUCUUCCAAAACAUUAUAUUAUAUUUCAAAUGUAUUAAAUUAAAAUAUUUUUUGUAUUUUUUCAGACUAUAGCCUUGAUUGCUGUGAGAGAAGGUGUCAUUCAAUUAGGAGCUGUUCAUAAGGUAUAGUAUCUUUCAUUCUCCUCCGUCCAAAACCCUUAAAAGACCAAAACCCUUAAAAGACCAAUCAACGGAUCGGAGAGUUUAUGUUUUAUGCACAGACAAUAUAUAAGAAGUUAUUAUAUUAUUGUGUUAUGUGGACCUAUUUAACAACAUGUGAUUUUUGAUAUCAAGCCUGAUAUAGUAAUUUGAUUUUCAAAGUAAUAUGUUAUAAUUGGUUUAAAAUGCCUUACUAGUGCAAAGAUAUUAAAAUCAUUAUAUAACAUACUUGAAAGAUUAUUUAUAUGUUCUUUUUGUUUAAACUUUUUUGAAGUUUACUGGUUCGACUAAUUUAUGUAGGUUAUUGAAGACCUAAGCUAUGUGGUGCUACUAAGAAAGAAGUUUAGUUACAUAGAAAGCAUUCCGGGAGUGUUAUUGCCACAUCCAUCUUCCUCAGCCUAUCCUUUCAAGGUAGACGGAUACGGGGCGUCACCAGACGCGUGGCAUUUCCAGACUAAUUUACCAGCACCAACACCAACACCAGCUGAAUUAUACGAACAUUUCAAUCAACAUCAACACAUGAAGAUCACACCUUCAAUGAGCAGCUUGGAAGCACUUCUUUCCAAGCUGCCUUCCGUCAUUCCAGCAGAUGUUGCUGCUGGAAUGACGGGGGGUUCAAUACCUACUACCUAUUGUCAUGAGUACCAACAACAACCCCAAUAUAGACCUAAUGUUGAAAUGUUGGGGUUAGAGAAAGUUGCAAAAGAAGAGUAUGAGGAGGAGGAGGAGGAGAAGGAGAAUAAUAAUAACGAAGAGAAAACUCGAAAUAAUAAUAAUAAUAAUAAUAGUAAUGAGAGAUUAGAUCAUAAUGGUGGUGAGAGUAGUAGUUCAAUGUCAUCUUAUAGUCAACAUCAUCAUAAUUAUCAUCAUCAACAUUAUGGUUAUCAUCAUGAUUUGAAUGUAAGUAGUAGCAUGCCUAAUAAUGGAUAUUAGAAGGACAUGAUGGUAAUUAAUUAAGAGUAUUGUUUUAUGUAAUGUACUAUUAAUUAGAUUUGUGUUAGGAAGAAUUUGAUCCUUUUUUUUUCUUCACAUCUAACAAAGUAAUAGUAGUUUCUUCCUUUCUUGUUUCACUCAGUGUUGUGGUGAAUUUUGGAAAUAUUCCCUUCCCUACUUACUUUUUUCUGUCUACUAUUACUUUUAUCUUAACAUCUCCAGCUUUACCAAAGUCGGAAUUAUUAUUUUUUAUCCAUCACUAGUGACUCAAACUCACAACCUGUUUACCAUACGAGCAAUAUUUGGCACUUUCAAUUGAUUAACAAUCAUUAAAAAAGAAAAAAGGAACCCUUGAACACUAAGAUGGGGGAAAUAGGGAAAAUGAUUAACUCUUUUUAAAAGAAAAAAAGUAAAAGAGUGUAUACGUGGGUAUAGUGGUAGGUAAAAGAGCAUACACCGUACACAAAGGGGACCAUUGGAAAAAGAUUUAUUUGGAAUUUUGAAACCUUUUUGAAGGAGUUGAUUGCAUUGCAAUGGCAAAAAAGAGUUUCUCUAUGAUAUCACCAUAUAUAGUAUAUAAUAGUAAUAAUCAUUUCAAUAAGAAAAUGAAAUAAUGCAAUGGAGUUUCAAUUUAUUACCUCACCAAAGAACAAGAGAGACUCUUUGGAAAGAGUUUAAAGAUCAAUAUGUCAAAUAUGAGGACUAUAUAUGAUCUUAAAUCUUCUCUUUUUCUUUUUUCUGGAAAAUGGUAGAGCAAGACAUAAUCAAGUACAACAAAAACAUCAUUGCGCUGCUCAACAUUCGCGGAGUACUGCUAAUCAAUUUGAGGAAAACAAGUAAACUCUCAAAUCAAUACUUUUAACUGACAAUUACAACUGAGUAUGAGACCAAUUACCAUCCUGAUAGUUGAGAAAAAAUAAGGAUACAAAACGAAAGUUUACUGAAUCUAUAUUAGCGUUGAAAUACAAAUGGCUAUCGAAUGCUGAAGAACAAAAAAAAAUUGACUUGUGUUGGCAUGUGUUACAUUCUCAGACAAUGUAGGACAAAAUUGAACCUUGAUUGUGGACUACAUCUCUUCAGUGGUAUAAUGCAAGAGAAACAAUGCCUCCUACUGAAAUGAUGCGACCAGAUCUUUGAAGUGAGUGAGGAGGCCGUCAACUGUCAUGACUUCAUGAUCAGGCUUGCUUCUCACUCGAACACUCACCUGUGACAUCAUUUACAUAUAAGGAAGAUCCGAUUUUUACAGCAAGAAUAAAGCAGUUGAUUGUUGGCUACGGGAUUUAAAAUGAGAACUCGUGGAGGAUGCAUGAAGAAUUACUUAAAGAAACCAAGAAAACCGUGAACGGAGUAUAAAUGAACUACAUUACUCCCUGCAGCAAGAGCUAUUGCACAGAAAGUAAAAAGAAAAUUGUUGCAGAAUAUUUCAAAUGAACCCCCACCCACCUUUAUCCACUUAAAUACCAGAGUUUUGUUUGUGUCAAGGUUUGAACCCAUAGUGUGUGCCUAACCUACACAUCACACAUUGAGGUCUUACCAUUAUACCAAAGCCCGGGGGCAGUCAAAAAUACAAAUUCUUUUUCAAGUAAAUCACUGUCUCAGUAGAAACAUCUUGCCAAGGAAAAGCACAGAGUUGUCAAGCCAGGAGGCGAGCUGACUGACCACCAAAAUGUGAAACAUAUUAAAUACUUUAAAGUUCUCUACAAGGUCCUUCAUGUUCAAUUCACAAAUACUUUCAAUUGUGUAAUGACUUCUGAAGAUCUUUCUAGCCUUCUAGGUGCCAUCACAGAGAAAUUUGUGGCUAAAAGCUUACAACUUCCGUCACCAGAAGUCCAUGACCACUAAUGCUCUCUUUUCUAACCUUAACUUUCUAGUUUGCAAACGGGGUUGGAUGAAGACAAACCAGUAAUUUAUAGAAAGUUAAGCAUAUUAUAAAAUAAUAGAAGAGAACAACAAGAAAGCAAACAAGUGAACCACAAAACACCCAGAUCAAUACCAAUGUUACAUAAAGGAAAUGAUGAUGGCUUUUAACAAUUUAUUCGAACUUAAAAAAGAUCACUAGUGUAAUGGGGCCAGAUAAACGUGUGAUUAGAUGCUUUUUUUUUCUCAUUUUGUUCAGUU